CACACACACACAUCUCCUAAACCGGUCAAUUUUACAUUAUUUUUGUCUAUGAAACUGAUCUUUUAUACAAUAACUUAACGAGGCAUUGAUGGUUGUACUUCGUAGGCUGCUUGUUUGAUUCACAAAUCUUGAGGUAGUUGAGACAAAGUACAAAAAUGAGUACAUUUGGCAGUAUAAUUAAUGAAUAAGUUAUUGACUUUCUUCCUUAAUCCACAGGUUUCACUGUAUUAAUUAUUAAAUCACGUAAUAUGGACAAGGUGAACAGAAAGAUAUGGAUAUAAUAAACCAUUAAGUUAUAGGUUAACACGUGAUAAAUACACAAGAGACCGCAUAAUUAAAAUUUAACUUAAAACAAAGAUGACAACAGUACGUUAGUUAAGACAACAGCAAGCUUACAUCUUAGCUAGCUAGCUAGCUUAUGAAUCACAUAAUUACUAGGUCAUUAUUCGACUUGAUAUUCAUCAUUCUUCAUUCAUAUUUAUGGUACUGAUCACCAAUGGUUGGGAAUAUAUUUUUAUAUAGAGCCCGAGGAUCCGCUCGUGUAGGAAUUGAGGCUGAGCUCAAGAGAAGCUGAAGAAGAGGUGCUGCUACCAUCAUUGGAACCAUACCAGCCGGAGUAGUAGCUGCUUGAAUUUGGCUUGCUGUUGCAAUAAUUGUUGAUGCUGUCUUCGCCAUGCAUGGGAAAGAGAGGGAGGGUUUCAAUGCCUGGGUGACCAUUUUCUUCUUCUUCUUCGUCUUCUUUGUCAUUUCCUUGGUUGCCAUCCGCAGAGUUCUUCUGGCCAAAAAAAAUGUAUGAUGAAGUGUGUGGGUCUAUGCCAACCCAGCCAUAGUUUUGGCUUCUGGAUCCGCCAACAACACUGCUACCAGUUGAUGAUAUUGAGCAGUCCUAGUUUCAUUAACAAAAUAAACAUGCAAGAGAUCUGGUGAACAAAUGGACUUAAAUAAAAUUAAUUAACCAAAAGAGGAUUGUUAGUUUUCAUUAAAGAUGUUUCAAACAUGUACUCGUGCCGCUCUCUCCUUUUCAAUUUAAUUUGAACCAGAAAGCUAUAGAGGAAUGAUUCUGUUAGCAGAUAUAAACAAUCACAGCACAUGCAUGGGUACAUUUUAUGUUACUCGUUUUAUCCCACAAUUAGAUUCCUUUUGAAAUUUAGAAAGAAGUAGAGUAUAUGACCUCGUGUACCAACUUACCCUAAAAUUCUUCUCCAUGGUAACGGGUCCAUAUCCAUGGUCUCCCAUUUGACCACCAGUGUACACAGAAUAUGAAGGAAGUGUAGCAGAAACCCCAGCUACAAAAUCAUCAAAACCAAUUACAUAAUUAUUAGCCUAAAACCUCUGAAACAUUCAGGACAUAUAUAUAUGUAGUUAUGUAAAAGAAAGAUGAAACAAGUACCAGAGGUUAUAGACUGAGACCGCGAUUUGUUAGCGAAAUCUUCAGGUUUCCAGUUAGUAGCAGCAGCUGGUCUCUGGUGCAUGGGAAGAUUAUCAGCAGCAGAGGUGGAGCUGCCUUCGAUCUUCUUUUUCAGCCUCUCUCGAGCUUUGUAGUUCUGAAACCAAUAAAAGACAUUUUUACCUUCGAUCUUGCCGUACUGUCUAAGCCUAGCAGAGAUCUUCUGAAUUUGUUCCGCAGUUGGGGACCUAACGCCAUUAUUGUAGUAAAGUUCCUUCAAUAUUCGUAUCUGGUCAGUUGUGGGAGUCCAGCGUGGGCAUGUUGGCCUGCAGUGACAGUUGUUCCCUUUGCCGCUGCCGCCACAAGCCCCGUUUCCUUGGUGUUGGUUUUGCUGUUGUUGAGGUUCCAUAUGAUAUUAUAUAUGAUGCAAUCAAAACAAGGAGACGCAAACAAAGAAAAAAGCAAAGAGACAGAAAUACAAAAGAGAGAAAGUGAAAGAAAGGAUGGUAAGCAAAUCCGAAUGUGAAUGUGCAUGAAAUGGAGAGCGCUAGGCCAGUGAGUUAUAAAAGGAUGAUCAGAGGGCAAAAGUGGCACAUUGGUAGAUGAAGUAAGGAUAUUGGAGUAAUUAAAAUCUGUCUGAGCACUGAAGUUGACAGAGAGUAGUGUUAUCAAAAAGGUAAGGGACAAAAGAUGAUAUAGAAAGUGAGGGUAUCAGUGGGAAUCACUUCAUUGAUGAAAAGGCACGACCAAGUAUAUAUGGUUACCGGUUAGUAUCAUCAGCUUUAAUUUGAGAAAGACAGUGUGAAAAAUCAUAUAUUGUGCGGCACGAAAUUAUGAAUUAAAAAGCAAGGAAGAAGACAGUAGAGUGAAUGAAUGAAUGAAUGAACGCAAAUGUGCAAUAAAUUAAUGUAUUUUGUGAUUUAGAGUUCACGGCGAGUGGGGACUCUCCUUUUAAUAAGGUAUGGUCCCUGUUUUCACUUAAGGGUGAAAAUUUGUAUAAAUUUAUAAGAAUAGAAAAGCUAUUGCGCUAUCCGCCCUCCAUUUUCCAAUAUGUAGAGGAAUAUUACAUGAUCAGCUAGGCAUAGGUCCUUCUUCCUCACCUGUUACAUAAAUAGGUCGGUAGCUUUUAACAACUGUAUCAUAUAUGCAAUCUUUUCAUUGUCCUAGCUACUUUAUGUAAGAAAAUCAGGGAUUUCAAAAAUGAGACGCGAGUUCCUUAAAGAACUUGGAGACGUGUCAGUUGAAUAGGCUGUACAAAGAUGCUCUACGUGUAGGGUUUGGAAGAAAACAGUAUUUGAAAUCAAUUAUGAUAUUCAUGAUUGUAGGCGAUUACUUAAUUACUAUAGACGAUAAAAUGAACAACAGCUUGGCGAAUAAGAGUCCAUUAUGCCCGAUUGUCCAAGUGAGUUUUAAGCUUUUGAACAUAUAUAUAUAUAUAAUAAUAGUCCGUUGUAGAUUUUGAAAAAGCAAUUUCGAAACUACUAUUUAUUGGGCAACAUAGUAUAGGAUCUACUUGUUUAAUUUAUUAAAGAGUAUACUCCAAAUAAAACUUAUUUUAAGAGAUAGUGUCUCGUCAAUUAAUUACUCUCCUUUUCCCUUUCUAUUCUCAACUAGUAAUAACGUUAAAGCAAGGUGGUUUAAAGUAGAACAACUUUAUCUAAAAGAGGAAACCUUUUAUUUAUUGGAGCCAACUUUGCGCUGAAAUGAUUGUCAGGAAUUGUAUUGAGAGAAUCAUGAUAUUCAAUGGAUAUCUCUCGUUGAAUUUAUGGUCGUAACUCAGAUUCUAAAUAAAACUAAUGGGCCAAAAUCUUUUCCGCAAACAAGCCGUUUUGUUUCACUAACCCUUGAAUGGAACUAUAUGGCUUGAAAUUGAAUCUAAUCAAGGAAAGGAAGCACCGAGAGAACAAUUGAAGUGAACAAAGAAUUAAUGAAGGAAAAACGAAUUUCACAAUCACAAAAGCGUACUAGUAGAGCACGCGCCCCUAAAAAUAAAUACAAAAGCAAUAAAUUGGUGUGGGGUCAUUGGUCAUUGUCUUUGAGACUUUAACACGUAAUAGAACAUCAUCAUCAUCAUCAUUAGAAAGAAGAACAAGAACUUACUUUCGCUUCCCUCCCCCAUCAAUUUGUACCCUCACCAUCCCCCAACAUCCGCAUUCAACACUUUUACGGACUCACGUUCUCGAGACUCGAACCUUAAAAAUAUUCAAGGAGAAUAUAUAAAAACCUUAUAGGCGAAAAUAUUCUUCAAAAACAGUAAGAAUAAUAGUAAUAAUACAGGAUUGCCAUUGCCUUAUGGCUCCCUAUCGAGCUAUAGAUUUCAUGUUGGGAUAGGCCGCCCAAAGAAAUCGAGAAGUUCAUCUUGCGUGAUUUGUCUUGGUUAUUAAUCUUGACUAGUUUUCUUUAACAAUAUUUGGCACUCUACUUUCACUUAAUUUUUACUUGUUUAUUUAGUUUAAUAAUCUUUCCCACAAUUACCCUUGCAGCUGGUAGGGUUAAUUUUAUUUACUUUCAUUGGUAAUUCAAAAAUUGAAAGACAGCUUCGAUCAUGUUAGUUGUGUGUAUACACAUAGAUCUUGCAAUGCCAUUGCCCAUUCUCUAGCUAAAUUAGCAUUAGAGAAAUGUGAAACUGUUGUAUGGAGGGAUUCAUAUCCUCUACAAAUCAUGUAUCUAUUAUCUCCUCUAAAUUAAUAGAAGUUUCUUUUCAAAAAAAAAAAAAAAAAGUAUAAAGAUCGUUGGCUUUAUAAUUGGAAAGAAGCAGAUGUGAGUACCAAUGUUGCACUUAAACGAAGGAUCUUAUAUGCCUAUUCAAACAAUGAACGGUAUACAUGGAAUCUGGAUAUUCUUAAUAUCUUUUGCAGAAAAGAAAAGGGAAUAGAUUUGCAUCUUAUGUCCAAUCCUUCGUAUAGUGACAAUUGUUGGCUUUUAUGAGAUUAGAGUUUCCACGGUGUGCAUAGUUUUCAAUAAUCAAGCUGAUAUUUGAUGAUAUAAGCCACAGAGAUUGCAGCAUGUUCUUUUCUUUCUUUUAGUCUUCCUCUCAUGAUUACUAAGAGAGAUAGCUUAAAUAUUAUAAUUAUAAUUAUUAGCUCAAAAUAAUUCUUUUAGAAAGCACUUUUUGGUAUGCUUUCAUUCAUCCUUCUACUGAUUGCUUAAUUCCUGUGGUCUCGUGUAUGCCAGAAAGAAGUGACGGAUCCAUGGGGGAAAUAAAAAAAAAAAACAAGAUUUCUUGGAUUUUUGGAGUUUUUGUUGCUUACUUUAAUACAAAGAUCAAUUCUCAUAAUAAUAGCGUACUAAAAAAGGUUAUACUUCUUGGUUUCUGCAUUUUUAUUUUUGGGAAAAUUAAACUGAAAUGUUUAGUCUCAUUGAAAUCCAUUCUUCUGAAAUACUUGAUUCUUUGAGAUCUUGUUAUGACACUUACCAUCAUGAGAUUUUCCUCUCCUUAUCAUUCAUUUACUUGAACUUUCUCUUAAUUAACCUUUUUUUUUUUUUUUUCCUUUCAGAUGGAGCAUGGAGGGAAAGCGUUUGUUUCUUGGGAAAAUAAUCUCUAGUAGUAGUAGUCAUUCUCUUGGUCAUCAACUUUUCUUGAGAAAUUGAUUUGGCAGUCCACAAUAUCUGCCUCUCUCUCUCUUAUCCAAAAUUUCUGAGGUGCUUACCUCAUGAAAUUUUCCCUAUUAGUUUGUAGCCGUAGUGAUACUGUGGCACUGGCGCGCGCACACUCACUUUUCUUUCGAGUCAUCAAUUCCUCUUGCUAGCUUCCUAUUGUCACACUCUAGCUAUCACAUUAUCACUUCAUAUCUCAUCUCCUACUACUUCUAGGGCUACGGCUAAGCAGUCUAAUUUUCGCUUUACUUUAUGUCUUUACUAAUUCUAAGACAAGGACUAGCAACCGCAUCGAGGAGGAAAUCCCCAGCCACAAGAUUUUGUCUUUACUGUGUCCCUCUAAAUUUCUUUAUAUUAUAUUACAGGGAGUUGCUACGAUAAGGUACUCUAUACUACUAUUAUUUGUUCAAUUUCGUAACCCUCGCAAUCUUACACACAUUUGUAUUUAGAUUUACAACCUUACAAUUUUUAUUUUGUGUGCGCACAACAACACUAUGGAAGCAUUUAUUUCUGGACGUGAAGUGAAAAUCUUAAGAUUAAAAGUGUGAAGUAAGAGUAGAAAUAGAUUAUUUAUUUAUUUAUACUGAAAUGAGAGUGUGAAAUAAGAAUUAAAAUCUCAUUUAUGUAUUUAUUUUUAUCUUGGAUUGGGAGUAAAUUAUUUCAAAUCACAGUUUUACUACUUUUACUUUUACCCUUAUUUAAAUACUAGUAACUUUAAUUACAAAGUGAAUAAAAAAUAUAUUUGUAAAAUAAACUAUUUAUUAAUAUUCUUAAUUAUAUAAAUCAUAAAUUUUUUUAUUAAUUUUAAUUUUAAAUAAAAAUUGUUGAUAAGAGCAACACAACUAAAACAUCAUUAUUAAUAAUAUAGUACAAAUUAAUAUUUUCUUAGAAUAAACUAUUCAUUAUUAUUAAUUAUUAAUAUUAAAUAAAUAUAAUACUAUUAAAAUUAAAUAAAGGCAUUAAUAUUAUAUUUUCAAAUAAAGACAGUAUUAUUAAUUCUCUAUGAAUAUGAUAAUUUUUUUAAGUAAUUUUAACUUAAAAUCAAUAUAAAUUAUUAUUUUAACUAAAUAUAAUAAUAAUAUAUUUAAAUAAGCUUAAUAUUAUUAAAUAAAUGUAAUAUUAUUUUAGUUUAAUAAAUAUAAUCAUAUUAUAUUUAAUAAGAGAAUGGUAAAAAGAGAAGAAGUGGGAGUGGAUCUUUUUGAGAGUCAAAUCUCACUCCUUACUUAAAAAAUGAGUAGAAUCUAUUGAGUGAGACUCUCACUUCUUUUCUUAAAUGAGUAAAUAAGUAUUAUGUUGAAAGAAAUUUACAUUUCUACUCUAACAAAUAAACAUUGCAUCUAAUGUUGCAUGCACAGAGACUAAAGUUUGACGCUACUAUCACGACUGUUAAUGAAUCACACUAUACACCAAAUAAUCAUACUGUACUUUGUUGUAAUGCUGGAACCCAAACCUCCCAGCCGUUGCGUAAAAUGUAUGGUUGGACCACUCUUAGAAUCAUCCUCAGUCUCAUAUUUAUUGCUUCUGGUCUUGCUUGCUCCGAGUUAAUUACAUUGUAUCGCCACCAUGUCAACAAAACAUCGCAUGCUUCAACUUCAUUUGGUAACCUCGUUAAAAGAGGGCCCCCCCGUCGGGGGUGGGGGGAUUUCAAUUUUCUAUCAUCUAUUGAAACAUAAAUAAAGAUAUACGAACACUUUCAACGGAGAUUUGAAUAGAUCUAUGAGCUUUCAAUAUGAUAUAUGCGAGUACUAUUUCGUAUUGUAAAAAAAUUACUAAAACAAAGUUUACUCAAGUCAUUUCAGAUUUUAAGUCAUUUCUAUCACUUUGCUUUUCUGUCAAAAUAACACAAAAUAGCAUUAUUCUUUUACGAAAAGCUUGAAAUAUUAUUAAAUAUAACAAAAUAAUACAAAGGAAUCCUACAUUUGAGUCUUCAUGUGUGAUGUAUCACUCAUCUUAUUAUUUUAUUCUAUCAGUUGAUAAAUAAUAUCACAUUAAUUGGAACUCAAAUUAAUAAUCAAAUAUGAAGAUUUCUAAGGUUAUAAAAAAAUAAUAUAACGUUAUCUAGUCAGGCCGGAAAUUGCUUUAUGGUAGCCCAUUCCUGGCCUAGACUUAGAACUGACUGAGGAUUAUCUUGCCCAACGGGAAGAGCCGUGCUGCUUUUUACUCCUUUAAUUGUUAUUAUAAUACUGAAGCAUUACUUUGCUGCUCAUUCCUUCACAAAGUAAAAUAAGCAGCAAAUACAGAAUGAAAAUUUUUGUAUUCUUCUCAGUUUCUUGGUUUUAGUUUGCUCCAUAAUUCAUCAAUUUCCCAUCUGUGUGAUGAGGUGUUUCAUGAGAGAGAAGCAAGAUAAGUAAUAUUCAUCCAACGAAAGCCAUUCUUUUGGCAUACAGAUUUCACAAAACUGAAAUGAAAAUUGUCACGUAUGGGUUGCACAAAACAGUUAUCGUUUGGGCCUCUUUCAGGACUCGGUAGUUUGCAAAGCCACUUGGAUUUUGGAGGAACAGGUGCUAUUGGCAUUUGCCAUCCCCUCAGUAUCCUCUCUUUCUUAUCUAGUAGUGAUAUUCAACCCUCGUAUAUUAACUCACAAGACCCCACUUUUUUUUUAUACCUUAUUAAGUUUUAAAAUCAUCCUCUUAUCUCAAAGAGAUCUCAUUUUUUUAUCACCAUCUACUUCUAAAUUCCAUUGUGUUUUAUCGUAACUAUCUUUUUCUUUUCAAAAACUUGGAUCAACACACUUAAAUGCAAGUCUAUCAUCCAUUAAUUAUAUAUAUAUAUAUAUAUAUAUAUAUAUAUAAUUAAUUGUCUGUUAUGUAAGUGUCUAUUAGAGGCUCUUUUAAAUAAAUAAAUUUAUAAAAUUCAAUAUUUUAUAUUGAAAAAAAUUGAAAAAAUAUAUCAAGUUGAGAUUGUGUUGUACUGCUCAUCAAAUCGCUAUAGAAUAAAUGGAAUACUUUGUUUCAAAAAAUAAAAUCAUUUGACGCUUAUAAUAUGCAAGUAAAAAUACAUAAGAGAAGAGAUGUUGGAUUAUUGAGUUUGAUUGAAAAGUAAAUAUAAUUUUUAUCCUUUAUGGUAAUUUUAGUAUCAAAGGGGUCUCAUGGGAUGAAACGCGGGACUGAAUAACUACACUCUUCUUAUCACCCCUUUACUGAAUAAUCCACUAAAUAUUUUUGAAAAAUAAUCACCACCUCCUCAUUUCAUCGAUAAUUCUUUUCUUUUCCAAAUAGACAUCUUUGUAAAUUGUAAUUAAAAGAGUCCUUUUUUAAUGCCAAGAGUUAUUUUAUUUUAUAAUUAUUUGGGGUAAAUUGAGUAAAAAAUUUUGUGAAUUAAAUUCUCUUUAAUACCCUUAUUUAAUCUCAUAAUCUUUUUUAAUUCAUUUUAUGAACUAACUUUAAACAAGUUAUUUUUAAAAAUAAUUUUAUAAUUUUUAAUAAAAAGUGAAUUUUUUUUUUUUUAAAAAAUAUCAGUCAAAGAUUUACAAUUAUACUAAAUGAAGCCUUAAUUCCUGAAAAGGAAUUAGAAGGGUAUUACGUCUUACUUUGAGAAACUCAUAGAAAAUCUACACUAAGCCCGUAUUUGGUUGGAAAAAAUGAUAGAAGAGGAGAGGAAUGAAAAGAAAGAAGGGGAGAGAAAAUAAUUGAAAAAGAAAAUCAUUUUCAUUUUCAUUGUUUAGAAUUUUGGAUGGAUAAAGAAUUCAUUUUUCUACCCUUAUUUUUCUCCCUCUCCUCCUUUCCUCUAUUCUCCUCUCCUUAUAAUUUUUCAAACUAAACAUGCCAUAAGUGAAUCCUUAAUUUUGUAAAAGGAAUUAGAAAGUGGUAGCAGUAAUUGUGCAGAAUCUACCAAUCAUAACAAGCUUCUGCCUACCGAUGGGUACGAAGCGUAGCGCCAAGCCCAAAUUCUGUUUACCAUAUUCUAACUAUCAAAGUUUGAUUUUGAUGCCACCGUCGGAUUUGAGUCUGGUCACACAAUGUUUGGGUAUCCAGUAAUUAUCUUAAUUAAAAUAAUGCACAUAUUUCAAAGCAUCAACUAAAUUGUCUAUAAUAUAUAAUCAAUAUGGGACACCUCAACGAUUUAUCCAAUUAAAUUUCAUGGCUACAAAGAGAGUUUAGUUACUGUCAAAUAUCAAGUGAGUAGACAAUUUAGUUGAUGCUUUGAAAAUCCAUUACAGGCUUGAUGCUUUCCUAAAUUUAUGAAAGAUAAUUAUUCUUGAGUUGUCUCCCACAUUGGUUAGUAAAAGAAAGAUACUUAGGUUAAUAAGUAGGAUAUGUCACUCUACACAAUAAGUUAAUUUUUUAGGUUGAAUACUUAAAAAUUUUAAGCCAACCCCCCCUCCCCAAUAAUUGGUAUUAGAGCUAGACCCUAGUUGUUAAAAUGUGGUGGUAAAACAACUCAGGUAUGUGUCGAACGAAAGGAUCGGAGUCCGACAAUGGUUUCAUCUAUAGUGGUGGAACAACUCAGGUAUGUGUUGGACGAAAGAAUCAGAGUUCGACAAUGGUUUCGUCUGAGGGAGGAUUAUUGAGUUGCAUUCCACAUUGGCUACACAUUAACUAGUAAAAAAAGAUACUUGGGUUAAUAAGUACGGUAGGCCACUCUAUCAAAUAAGAUAUUUCAUCAAUUAAGACGUGGAGGCCUUGUCUAUUUUAGAGAUCAAACACUCCUAUUAUGAUUCAGUCAAAUUUCAAUUAUGGCCAAUGAAAUUUGUUUAUUUAUCAUCAUCAUCAUCUUUAGGAGAGUGCAAGUUGCAAAUUCUGUGACAAAAUUGCUAAACUAGUCCAUGCAAUUUUUUUGAGACUUUAGUUCAUGUUGCAAUUUGUUGGCGAAAGAAUUGGUCAAUUGGAGACUUGGAGUGGCGCCAUGCGAGCACUGUCUAGCUGGUACCAUUUCAUGGUCCACAAAAAUCAUGAUUAAUACCUUCUAAUAAGCUAGUGUUCUGAAUGUACUUCAACCAUCCAACAAUCUGCGUUUACUUGUUGUAGAAAAAUGUCUUCCACAGUAAUUGAGAGACUAAUUCAAUAAUUUUAAUUUUUCUUUUUUUUUUGGAUGGUAGCAUAAAUGAUUAAUUAAUGAAAGAAAAGAAUUUUAGGUUUAUGCUAGAUGUGCCUAUAAAAUAUUUUAUUUUAUUUUUAACUUCGAUGAAAGUGAUUUUUUUUAGUAAAUUAAUAGUUAUUUAUAGAUCAUUAGACCGCAGGUUUAAUGAUGGACGAAUGCCCUCACUAAUAUUGAGAAUAUCUGCCCUAACCUUAAUAUAUUGAUCAUAGUAAAACAUUAUUUCAAACAUUAUAUGUUACAUUAAAUUGUUAGAAUUAUUCUUAAAAAAUAUGUUUCAUAAUUCAAUAUCUAAGGAGUGUUUGGAGAAUUAUCUCCAACAUUAUAAAUAUUCGUCAAAAUUUAAAUGUCAAAACGUUUAUUACAAAGGGAAACUCAUGCACGCAUAACCUUCUUAAGGCAAUAUAGGGAACCACGUUACACACGGGCGAAAAGUUUGAGCAAAAUCAAACUCAUUCACAUUUGAUUGUUAAUUCAGUUAGUAUUGAAUUUGCCUUUGGACAAAGCAUUGAUCAUUGACUAGUUUCAAUCAGGAGUCGGUCGGGCGUUUAUUGCGUCUUCAAAACGAUGGUGAGACCCUACUCUUAUCUCUGUAGACGAAUCAUCGGCGUCUGGUGAGGGGUAGUAAUCUAGUUUGAUCUGCGCAUCCCUGGCUUUCUUAGGAUUUGGAGUUGGAGAAAUCAACAUCGACAUGAAAUGUUCGCGUGCAGUGCAAUCUACGAACACUUUCCUCAGCGUAAUACAGUUGCCUGUCAACGCAGCUGCAAGCCUCGAUAGACUCCUCUGGCUAACAUCAGGGUCUUUCGCUGGCCAAUAAUCAAGCUCUUUCAAUGUCAAAUUCCCAAUUCCAUUCAACACAAAUCUAUCCCACGUGCUCAAAUCUGCUGCUCUAUAAGGCGCGGCUUGAUUAUGCCCGUCGGUAUCACCAAAAUCCAAUACCAAUUUUGAAAGCCGAGGAUACCUUGUGAGGCAGCUUAAUCCCCACGCUUUGUCAUCUCGCAGUAACUGCUUCUCUCGCGUAUCUCCUUCCAUCUUUAUACGAAUGUUCUCCAAAAUGGGACAUUCAUCGAGACCAGCCACAGGCAAGGGCCUCAAAAGCUCACCUACUUCAAUCCAAAAAAGACAAUUCUUUCAAACUCUUCCACCUCUUCAUGCACAAAUGAUGAUUAACUACUCCCUUUCCUUUCAAACUAUCUUCGAGAAAAUAAUGCUUGCGUUUCCUGUUGCUGGGCAAUUCAUCAUCAACAUUAUACAUCAAUUCAUUGAGGUAUCGAAGCAUGGACCUUUUGCUUCUGAACUCCGAAUUCCAUCCCAUACGCAGUCAAUAUGCAGCUUUUGAAUUCGAUCACGAAUUGGCUUCAGAGCUUUGCAUGAUGCCACAGCGCCAAGAUUCUCACAACAAUAGAUCUUGAUCACCACAAGAGUUUCGCGAAGCAAACUAGCUAGUGUUCUCAACCCAUCAACCGUAAUGUUCUUGCAUUCCUCAACUUCAAACUUAACGAGCUUACUGCACCCUCUUCCAAUGGCCACCAAGCUCAUAUCACUCAAGUCCCCGCAAUUCUUUAUCGACAAAGACUCGAGCCACUUCCAGCAAGGCAACCCCAUCAAGUUGCUUCCAAUUACUCGCCAAACAAACACCAUGCAACUGUACUAGCUUCAACCCUUUCAAAUUUACACACUUUGACUUCAGCGCUUCCGAAGCCGAACCGCUGUCUCUCACAUUCCUUCCCACAUCGAGAGCCAAUUCUUCAAGCAGAGGCAAGCCGCUAAACAGCUGUAUCAAACCCUCUUCACUGAUUCUUGCAUCCUCUGCUGUGAAACCGUCGUCGUCAGGAUCUCCUCGCAUCGCAGCCAGCGUCGAGGUUUCGGCCAGAUGAAGAAGCGUUAACCUAGGACAGUUUGUUGCUAUAGCUCAUAAAGUUUCGUCGCUGAAAAAACCGAAGCACCUCGUAUCAAACACACAGCCCACUUGUUCAAAUUGGGACGCGUGGCUAUGAUUUCGAUAAUCUCUUGGGGCCUAUAACCUUCGGAAAACGAUGUCGUAAGGAGAUUUAAGCAAGUGAGAAUUGCUGAUUUGUCUGGAUAAGCUUUAAGAACCGGUGGGAGAUCUUCUGUCCAGUGAUAGAAACUAGAAAGAUCGACAGAAGUAAGACACUUGCAAUGUUUUAAUAACGGAACAAACUCCGCGCCAAAACCUUCCGGUGGACGUGGAUGCCAACGAACUAACUUGACGUGGCUCAAACUCUGCCACAUAGGAAACUCAUUUGCAAGAGGUCAGCCAGGAGACGUGGAUCCAUCGAUGAAGAUGAAGGAGAGAAAAGAAGUGAGUGGCCCCACGGUGAGAUAUUAGAGAGUUGUAGGUUUGUGACGGCAUCGAAACAGAGAGGGACAAUGUUGAGAUUGCACGCGUUGCCACGGAGCGUAAUGGAGGUACGAGUGGCUCUCCAGGCUGCAGAAUUUCUCGCUCACUAAAGAAACCGAGUUCCUAGUGCGCGUCGAUGAUUGUAGCCAAAAUGUCCGAUAAAAUUAUGUUGGGAAGAUCACUGAUUGUCGUCGUUGAAGAUUCGGCCAUGGUAAUAUCGCUGGCCGGCCGGGUGGUCUCGUGCUUGCUUGGUGUUUUUCUAAAGAGUCUUCGUUGAGCUCUGAAUCGAAGCAAAGCAAAUGGCCAAAUUUAUGAACCACGGGGCACGUGAGUACUGCAAGGGUAAUUUUGACGAUGGCGGAGGGCUUUACUGUCUUUUCAGGGACUCCUCUGCAAAUUAUUUGUACAGCGUAGUAGGACCCCAAUCCCCAUUCUUUAUUUUUGGAUAAAAAAAGUUUUACGGGCUUGGCGUAUUUUGUAGGUAAAAACACUUUUGUGAGGAAAAAGUGCUUGUUUCUUGCAAUCAAGAGUGAUUUUCGGGGGCACAAAAAAAAAAAAAAAAAAAAAAGCUUGGUCUAAGUGGUGGGGUGUGCUUAACAUGUUGAAGGUGCGAUUACUUUCAUUAAGGGACUUAAUAACAAAUUCUUUUCAAUAACUUCACUUUGGAUGGGUAGAUGUCUCUCUAAAUAUUAGUAUGGCGUGUGCACACACACAUAUAUAUUCAUUUAGUCAUGAAGACAGAGAUUAUGUCAUUAAUUUUUAAAUAAUACUCCCUGAAAUUUUAAAUAACAUUAUAAAUGUAUGAAAUCAGAUUCCUAAUAAAUCUCAUUUUGCAAUAUCUAUAAAUUGUAAUAAUUUUUUUUUUUUAAAAAAGAGCAAAUGAAAGAAUGUACUUUAUAAUUUUUUUUGCAAAAAAAUAAAAAUAUAAGUGCUUUUCAUAAAAGUUAAACUUUGUUUAUUUGCUUAUUGUAAAAUUUAAAUUUUGAUACUCUUAAAAAAGUUUUUCUUUUAGCUUUUCUGAAACUACUAGGAACGAUGGCAUUUUUACUUUGUUAUUACUUAAUUAAAAUAAGCAAAAAUGAUUUUACUUUGUUGAGUUUACGAAAUCUAACAUUAUUACCUUUCUCUUUCUUCAUUAGUUUGGUGAGAGACGAACAAGAAUGGUAACUUAGUUGUUUAAGUUAUAUAUUGAUCUGUAGUAUGCACUUGUACGUUGUGAAUAAGUAGGUUAGUUGAUUGUAACUGAGCUUUUACACCCUCUAUCACUUGAGUUCGAGAAAAAAAUGAAGAAAAAUGUUGAUUAUUAAUUCAUUGCAUAGUAAAAUGACUUAUGUGGAUAAUAAUUUGAUUUAGUUAAUAUUAGGAUUUUUUUAUCAUAUUUACAAACUUUUAAAAGUUUGAGUACAAAUUUUAUUGUUUGAAAUAAAUAACCUUUAUAAAUUUUAUAAUUACUGAAUUUGGAUGCAGUGUUGACGAUAUAAAUUGUGCUAUUAUUUUAAAGAUCUUCUACCACAUGUAUAUGAGUGUAUAGUAAAGAUGUAAUUACAUAUUUAUUUUCAUCUAAUAAAAAAAUUAAAAAUUAAAAAAUUGUGUGCUUAAUAAUAAUUCAAGUUAAAUAAUUAGUACCAGCAACAACAAUCAAGCAUGUAAUGGUCAAAAUAUUUAGGAACAUACAUUUUUUUUAGUAAGAGCAACUUCUAAACCCACCCUUACAAAAAAGAAAUGAAAGUGAACAUAUGAAAACUAAUCAAGUACUUGGCAUUCAGUUUGACAUAUAACUAACUAAAAGCUAAGUCUGUUCUGUACAUUAUUAAAUGCUACAAAUAAGGUAGUAAUGCUUUUGAUGAUAGAUGAGUAUGAAUGUUGAUGCUAACAAAUUAAAUAGGGUUGUGUAGAAUUAAAUUUCAAUCUUUUUUAUCUAAAAGCAGGGAAGAACCACCAUGUAGAAUUGAGAAGGAUUUUUCAACAAAGAACUGCUAGCAGCAGUUAGUUUCCUUGAGAUGAGAGUACUACUAGUAUAGAUAGUAAAGUAAACAUGCUUGUUUCUUUUUUCUUCUUUCAAGACAUUAAUACUAAGGUAGAGAUACUUGUUUCUUUUUUUUUUUAAGACAUUAAUACUGUUUUGUUGUUCAAUGCCUCAACAACUCGCUUUUGUUUGUACUUGAGAGUCAAAUUGUUGCAGCUCCAGCCACAGUUGUAAUAACAACUUUGAAUUGAAAUUUUAAUAUCAUGCUUUUUGUUAUGGUUCUAGUUUGAAUCUCUAUUAUCAUUCUGAUCCCUAAUUUUAUUUCCUUUUAUUCUAUAUAUGUGUAUGUUUUGUCUAAGAAAGAAAAAGGUAAUCACUUAUUGUAAUUGAGUAGUUAUCAUAGAAAAAGUCAAAAUGGUUAAUUUUGAAAAAUCUAAAAACUUUUAGACUAGUCAUGUAAAUUUUCCCUCACUUUUGACGGGAGUAAAACAUUAUACAGAACAAUUCCAAUAAGAUUAUUCAAUAAUAUGAAGCUACAUUUUUUCAAUUAUGAGCUCUCAUAAAUUUUUAAAGAUUUCGUGUCAUGUGUCUUUAAAUAAUAGUGUAUAGGUAGAAUUUAACUGCUUCAUUUUCUUUAUUUAUUAACUACCAAUCACCCACAUGUAUUUUUGCGUAAGAAGAAAUCAAAUCAUGAGAAAAUCCUAAUUCUUUCCAAUUCCCAUCUUUUGACACUUAUUUAAUUCAAACAUGCUUACAAUGUGGUAUGUCAUUUUUAGCUAAUAAUUUCUCAAGAAUUGUGAGUUGAGUAAUGCUAAAGAGAGAGGAAUAUGAGAGAAUUUUGCUCUCUCUGUCUCUCUCUACCCAGCCCACUUUCUCUCUUCUUUUCAAUACAUUUUCUCUCAUCUUUCUCUCUUUUUAACAUUUUUCUUAUGAUUUUUCUUUUCUUGUACUAUGUUGUUAUCAUUUUAAAAGAAAGGUAUCUCAUUAGAUAACUUCUUUUUUUUUUUUUUUUUGAAUGAAUCUCAUCAGAUAACUUAAGUCACAGAGAAAAAGUAAAAUGAUAGGAAGGCCGAAGGCUGUUGCAAUUUUUUUUUUUUUUUUUUUUGGAUAGGAAGGCUAUUGGCAAUUGAAAGGCAAAUCUUGUACAAAGUCGGUGAUUCUCGGUCAGUCGCUCACUCUAGACCCAUCAGAUGUUUUUACAUAGAAGUUUCACUUUUGCUACCAUCAACUGAAAGGCAACUCUUUUGUGUAUGUCCUCGUUUGCUUAAAAUGAUUCGUUUCACUCUGCUGCUAGCCUACUUAUUAAUAUAAAAGUUCAGAAUUAUUAUCAUGACACUCAUUUGUGAAUAAGAAGACGCUUUUUCUAGUAUUUUCACCUUGCAAACAGCCAGAGAAAAAGUCUGCAGAAUGUCUGAUUAACACAACCAAAACUCUUCACGUUCCAGUACCAUCACCUCUAAUAUAUACAACCACCAUUUUUCUUCUCAUUCUUCUUCUCAUUGCAUGUUUAUAAGCGUUCCAAAUCGUAAUUUCCAUCUCAUCAUAAUAUACACAACCAUUUAAAAUCCUAAUUGAUUCAGAUUCUUCAACCGAAUAAGAACAGAAAAAAUAAAUACAUAAAUUCAUAGAGUACCAAUACAGGUGCAAAAAAAUUGUGCUUGGCAUCUCAAUUAUAAAAAAAUCAAUCAAGGAUCUCCUAUUUGUCCUUCAAACUUGUACAAAAACCGUGCCAGCACCAGCCAACAUUUGAUGCUAACCUUUGCUAUUCAACAACCGACUUCCUCGUCAGGAUAUGAAAGAAAUCCAGAACUUCCAAACUUCCAACUACAGAACCAAGGUUCAUGAUCAUAUCUUUGUCGCAUGCUUUAUAUCAAAGCCAAAUAGGCUACAUAUUAAGAAAUUGUCACAGCUGCCAACUCCCUAUUCAGUCACACAAAGACUUGUAGAUAUUGUUAGAAUCAAAUACGUAUGCUUAAGGUAUGCAUCACCACAUAUUACUGGUAUAAAUGCAACCACUUCCUUUUCAGCAGCUUCUUCAAAACCUAAAAUGACCUUGAGAAGAAACUCCAAAGAAAACAGCCAUAACAAACAUCAUCUAUCCAGAGCUGAGACCAGCAGUUGCACAGACCGAAUCUGAGAUAUUCAUAGAAAUCCAUCAGUUGCCCAGAUUUACUCUCACCCUCGGCUUAUCCGUAGGUCUACGCUGAUAACGACCUGGGUAAUGAUGUUGUGAACGGGCAUCACUUCUCUCCCCAUGUUCCCUUCCGUCCAUCUUAGGCUCUCUUCUAACUCGCUGCUUCUUCGCUAGGCCAUCAGAUUUGAAAAUUUUAGGUUUCUCCGCAUCAUAAGGCAAUGGCUGAAUGCCCUGUAAAUCAGGCUCAGGAACAAACCCAAAAGGACGUUUCGAUUCAUCCAUUUUUCUGAAUGUAAUUGAUAUCCUACAAGAAAUGCAAGACGGAAGAGUAAAUCAACUAUAACAGUAAUUAAUACAAACAACCAUUAACGAAUAUCACAAGGUCUUAACUUCUACCUCUUUGUAGGAACAGCAGGCACACAAUGCUUUGCCACAUCAGCUGCAUUCCCAUUUAAGACGAGAACAGAUCUGAAAGAAAUUAAUAAGUCUCAUGCAACAGAAAAUCACAAAUGCAGCAUAUAAUAUAUAAUUCAAAAGAAAAACCAAGCACAGUCCUGCAAAAAGAAAGGGGGUUGCACAUCAUACUUACCCCACAGGCAAAGCGAUUGGAAUUGAACCAGCAAACUCACCAGCACCUACAACCUUUAAGUUUGAUCCAAAAACAAUAUUGCACUCACUGAGAAAUGAAACAGUACAAAAAGGUCGAACAAAAUCGUGGUUAUCUAUAUGAGGUGGUAUGCAGUCCCCUUCUUCAUAGAUGUUAACUAUACAGCUAUCCGGCACGCAUGUUGGAGGAAGUACAUGCCACUUGACCAGCCUUCUGAUGAUCACUUUAAACAGAUGAGGCAGAGGAUCCACAGGUUCAUUUUGAAGAAUGCCCGGUGGAUUACCAUUUUUAUCCUGACAAUAAAACCAAAAAAAAAAAUCAUUAGCUUUAAAACCAUUUACUAAAGUACAUUUAAUGAUCAUAAUGUUACCAGAUACAAUUAUUAUCAAAACCCCAUAAGAAAGUGAGGUUUCAUCUUAUAUUCAACCAUAUACAAGCAACAUAGUGAAGGAAACUCACAGUUGCAUAAUUAUAACAGCAACCAAACUGGAUAGUUAUGCGCCCUUUGCCCCUCAUCCACUUCUUGGGUGCUGAAUACGUUUUCUCUGCAAAUAUUCCAACAAUAAUAUUGUCCCUCAGCAUCAAAAUAUGUACAUAAUUAAAAUAUAUAUAUUUAGGGCACAUUGAAUGAAAACAAACCAUUUGCAAAAAAAAAUGAGCAAGGAAUAUCUCUUCAGUUAAUCCAUCAAAUGAUAAAUGAUAUUUUUUAUUUUAAAAUAAAAAAAUGUUAUAAAAUCAUCUCUCUAACAAAGCAUAUGAAUAAAAUAAAAAAAUCAAAUGAAAAAUAGCAAAGGUAUUAGCUUUUAUUAAAGAUAUUCAUCAUGAAAAUGUGUAUGACAACUCAUUUUGUUGAUUGAAGAUCCUUUCAGUAGUAUAAAUCUGAAAAGUAGAAACCUAAGGUUCUUUUGUCAAACAGAUAAGUAUCGCACAAGUCUCCUGGACUAGAAGACUAUUUCCAUGUCAAGUCAAUGAAAGCUGGUAAUAUAGACACACUGAUCUAUCAAUAAGUUAAUCGUACUCUUGAUCAUCCAAGACAAUAAGUAGAUGUAAAUAAACAUAGCAAAUUUAAACAUGUUUACAAUUAUAGUAAUGGGUGUUAGCUUAAGUUCUUUUAUUCUGGUUAAUUUGAACAAUCUAGAAUCAUUAGUAAAUGGACACUUUGUUCUCAGGCCAAUCACAUAUUCACAUGCAUUCACACAAAGAAUGGAGCAGUGAGCCCAUAGUGAUCACAUAUAGCUAGAAACUAAGCAAAUAUUAUCAAAAGCAUAAUAGACAAAGAAUAAAAGAUACAGCUACAAAACCUUUGUACAAACUAAUGUGGCAUAACAUAAUUAAUUGAAUGAAAACAUCACUUGGCCGACAUGAUUUAUUUAUAUUAGUUCAUAUUUUAUUCAAUCAAUCAUGAUAGACAUAUAAGUUUGUAAAAAAUAGAAAUUGUAGAAGAGUUUGCAGCUGUAAUAAUACUCACGGACUAAUCACCUAAUCAUAAUAUCAAAAAGAAACUAAGCACAAAAGUAUGAUGAUACAGAAAAGCAUUUAGCUAAAAGAGCAUAUACAGAGUGCAGUAACAAGCACAACUAACCUUUCAAUUCUCCCUUUGUCCCCAUCUCAUUAAGCGUAUGAACAAAGUCAACAAUCCUCUUCUGUUCAGCUGCACUAAAAAUACCCUCAUGCAGCUCAAGUCCCGCCAAGAUAUUAACAAUUUUCCCUUUAAUCUUCUCCAAACAUAUGAAAUCCUUCUUCCUCCUCACAUGCAUAAACCGCAUGUGCUCUCUCUCUUCCCUAGACAACAUAGGCUUCUGAACAACCUUCGAAACACUCGACUCUUCCUUCAAAACAUUAACACCAUCAUUCACCUGCUUGUUCACUUUACGCUGCUCUUCUUCUCCCUCCUCCUCAAGCUCAUCUUCCUGAGCCAUGUCUGCCCAAGACAUGCGUGGACUUGGGGUUUCAGCCAAGUGUGAUUCAAACGCUAACCCACUACUUGCGGAAGCUUCUUGAUCGGGUUCGGAACCCCCAUUUGUCCCAUCUUUCCAACUCCCCAUUGAAUUAGUUUCUGCAGCGUCUUUCCAACUCCCAAGAGAAUUUGUAUCACAAUUAUCACAGUUAUCAUUCAUGCUCCCUGAAUCGACAUUGUUCUCACUAGUUGAAGCUCUAUUCUUAACUACAUUCGCAAAUUCCCUUUCACCGCCAUCUAAUUCUGAAAUCCAAUAAAUAAAACGUUCAAAGAGAGAAAAAAAAAAUACAAUUCAGAAUCACUAAAUCCUAAGCAGGAAAAACUAAAAUAAACUAAUGAUAAAACGUUCAAAAAGUAAUUGGAUCAUUAACUAAUGAUAAACGGCAGAAAGUUGAGAUUAUAAAUUACCUGGGUUGAGAGAGUGGAUGCGAUCGGAGAGGGUUUUGGAGCAAUUGUGGCAGAGAUCGCGGCAGAGGAAAGGGAGCCACGUGGUGAGAAACUCGGAGGCAAUUCUGAGUUCGGAGGAUUGGUACUGAAUAAGGAACGGAUCCUCCUUUUUGACUCGGUUGAGAUCGUUGUUAUUCAUGGCUGCACACCGAGCUAACUCGGUUCAGAUCGCUUGAAUUUAAGCAGGUGAGUAACUAACUGGUUAUAACUGUUCUGUAGGUGAAGACGACCGAGAGAUACACAAAUAACCGAAUGUUUAAGGCAAAACGAAUGGUGAAAGGUUAAAUAUUAGGAGAACAAGUUUUUCUGCUCUUUAUUUUUAGUGCUUGUCCACAAAAUUAAAAGACCGCAUUAUCGGAUACCGAUGUACAAAAUGAAAAAGCCAGGGGUACCUUUGGCAAUCCACUGAUAGGUCCGAAUCCAAUUCGGAUUCUCCUCGUACCAACUCGCAAGAAGGGGCGAAUAUAUAUGUAUCAAUUAUAUAUUUUUUUAUAUAUUAACUUUGAUAAUAUUUACAAUUUCUCAGAAUUCCCCUAAAUAAUCCUUAAUAAUCUUAUUAUGCUAUAGUGCGAAUAUUGACCUUUACUUAAUACAGAUGAAUAUUUACUGUACUCUAAAUGACGGGGGUAAAUAAACCCUUAUUAAAAAAAAAAUCGAAUCCCAACUAUUUAACUGCACGGAUUGCCAAUAGAAUACAAGAAGAAUCGAGUCCCAACCAUUUGACUACAUGGGUUGCCAAUAGAAUACAAGAAGAAUCGAGUCCCAACCAUUUGACUACAUGGGUUGCCAAUGGGAGACGAGUCCAUUGCCCAUUGGCAUAUGUAUCAAUUAUAUUAACAUAUAUUUUUCAGUAAGUUUUCUUUGCUCAUAUAAAAUAAUUCAAUCAUAUUUUUGAGUAAAAUUCAAGUAUUUUUAACUGUAUACCAUUGCAAUAAAAAUGACAUCGUAAUUCGUAGUUACUAAGAAGUACUAGAGUUAUCGUGGAUGAUUUCUGCGGAUCUUGAAUUGGGCAGUAAAUGAUUGGCCACAGCCUCAGACAUAAAAUGGAUGCUCCCGCACGUGAUCAAAGACACGAACAAGGAUAAAAUUCUCAAGAGUAAGCACAUCCAACCAUUUGCUUGCUUGGUGUUUGCCCGUAAGUCUGAAACUAGUUGAAAGCCAAAGAAAUAACAAUAAUGAACACUAAUAUCCUCCAAACGCUUGCUUCAAAUGCACCACCAUCAUCAUCCAUCCGAAUCCCUUUAAAACCUUCAACAACAGCCACAACAAAUACUUACCGUGGGCGACCAAUCAGACUCAAACCCAUCAGCAGCACCAGCGGCAGUAGCAGCAACGAUGCUCCACAGCCAGUUCCUCCACCUAUAACGCCGCCGGACACGGUGGAAAUACGGUUUCGUCGAGGCUCAAGAAGGCAAAGACAGCGGAGAGAGGGCCGUGGGAGAGAAAAACAACCCUUGGAGACGCAAGCUUCAGCAACUCCCAAGAAGUGGGAGGAUAUGAGUCUGAGUGAAAAGGCAAUGGAUCUUUACAUGGGUGAGAAGGGUUUGCUCUUCUGGCUCAACAAGUUUGCUUACGCCUCCAUUUUCAUCACGAUAGGAGCUUGGAUACUGUUUCGAUUUGUAGGGCCUUCACUUAAUCUUUACCAGUUGGAUGCUGCUCCUCUCUCGCCUUCCAACAUGUUCAAAGGUUCAUGAAUCAUGAUUUGAUAGUGUGCCUUAGUUCUCUAAUUCUAACUCUUCCCCUUGUAGAAACACUUUUGAAUCAUCUAGAAUAUAAAUUAUAAAGCGUUUUUACCUUUAUUAUUGGUAUAGUCCGUCUGAUUUCAAGAAUACUCGGACAAGAAACAUCCUGUAUUAUUUGCUAUCAACACAAGAAGUGAAUACAAAUCUAACUUUGGCAAUUCAAGAAACUUGAAAACAACAAUGUAGUAGAGAGUAGAGACAUAACAAGCCUUGAAAAUGAAAUGGUACUCACAUAACUCAUAUCCACACUCUUAAUUAGAAUGGAAGUUAUUUUCUAAAGUGACCAACCUAGGGUAAUGAAACAGGUGUACAACAGUCUUUCAUGUUUUUGGCCAGCAUGCUACAAUGACUACCAGCAAAACCACAACAAUCUAACGCCUCUGCGGCUUUGUAACUACGCCGCACUGACUGGCUGAACCACUGUUUCUUUUUUAGUCUUGCACCUGCAUAAGAAAAUCUUCAAAAAGUCAGACCAACUUAAUGAUGCAUAUGCUUUUAAUUCCAUAAAAGAACCGGUACAGAUUAGUUAAGAUCAAAGCCGCCAAACGGAGAAGACAGGGGAUUCAGGUAAGGGGAAAAGAAGAAUUUAACCAUAAGGGACUUUAGACAGAAGAGCAAGUCAAAAAAGUACGGAGAAACAGAUCACAAUUGCAUUGAACUGAAAAUGUUGAACAGAUAAAAUAAGGAACAAGAUCAGCUGAGAUAGAUUCAAAUGGAGCCAACACAGAUUUUAAAUGAUCCAAGCUUCACAAAUUUCCCAAGGAAGAAGCAUGUAUUUCUGACAAUUGAUGAGGUUUAAAUUCAAUCCCAAAUACUAACCUAUUACACUCUGAACGGGAUGCAUAAUUAUGAUUGUUGCAAUUUGAGCACAUCCAGUCUCCAUUACGCCAUUGCUUCGCUCUGCCAUGUGAAAACACACUUACUUAGAAUAUCAUCAGAAAGAAUUUGUGAAAACCCUUUUGUAAUAGAAAUAUCAAAAACAGAAAAGCCUCUAUUAUCACAAUACAGUUACUGAACAUAUAUAUGUGAAAUGUAAAAUUAAUUCAACAGAUACCUAAAGUCCCUAUUAUUUUUCAUCACAUACAUGCCACCAAAAAACCAUCAUCUCUUGAAAUUUUAUUCAGCAUGCCGAAUUCAAAUUGUAUACAGAGGUAAUAAUUGUUAAAUGCAACCCCAACAGUAAAAUACCACUAUCAAAUCAAUAGAUUUUACUUUCUUCAUUUACAAAUCGAUUAUCUGUUUUGACUACAACAAGCUUCCAAAAAACAGACAAACUAAAAAGAAAAAAUGAAAAAUGGAGAAACACCUGAUCAUCUUAAUUAACAAAAAGGGAAAAAAAUGUAGUUUGGGCCCUGUAUGGUAUUGUGGUUUAAGCUACAGCAAUAAAGUAUUUGGUAAACACUUGCUGCAGAGAUUGGAAGCUGAGUUGAAUUUAUCCCACACUCAUAUGAUGAAAAACCUACAAUAUCUUUACUAAUUUUUAUCAAAGCUAUUAUUUUAAAAAUUAUACAACUACACACUAUCAACUUUUAUUCCAUAACUAUAGCUUUUUUUUUUCCACAUAACUUGUGACUGUUAAGCCACAACACUUUAAUACCAAAUAAGGUCUUAUUAUCUUAAAAGAAAAUGAAUUUUUUUUAAAAGAAAAAUGAGAUGCAUAAUAAUAAUUUACCCUUUUCCAACAAGAGAAGGCACUGUUGGUUGGUAUGGAAAUUGCAUAGAUGCUUGCCAACUUGGAACCGCACCUGAGCUUACACCUGCGUAUGGAGCAUAUACUCCCAUUUUCAUGUCAACUGCAGAUCCUAACACUUGCCCAACUCCUGGAUACAUCUUCUGCUGUCCAUUUGUCUGUACAUUCAUCCAUAAAAAAUGAACAGGGGAGAGGAGAGGUUGAAAGUUUUUUUUAACCAUGCUACAUUGGUUAGUAUAAUCUAAAAUGCCAAACCAGAAAAUGGUUACUCACAUAUCCUGAAUUCAAUCUCUUGUUAUCCCAGUCAUGAACAAACUCCUCUGAAGCCAAACGCUUUGUUCCAAGUGUUGUAUACCCUAAAGAGAAUGACCAUGAGAAAGUAAACAUAAGAAAUAGCAGAUCACUCUAGAUGGCCAUCAGAAUAAGAAUACAAAGACGAAGAGAGCAUGCAUGGUGGUCAUUAUAAAGGAGAUGAGUUUAUGAAUAACAUCAGGUCAAGUAUAAAACUAAUAAAGGAAAACGGGAUGGGGAAGAGAAAAGAAGAGAGGAAUUCUAAAUGCCAUUAAACUUUAGCAGAAAAAUUUGUGUAAUGCCAGACACAUAUAAUCUGUCACAGAUACAAGUAUCCCACUUCAGAAUAUAGGGGAUCAUGCUGAAAGCAGACUGCAAAGGCAAACAACAAACAAUCAUAUUAACUACAUUUUCAGAUCGUCCAAGUAAAAGGAUGGUGUCAAAGAAGAAAUCAGGAGCAUUAAAAAAUAUUUUACUAUAAAAUGAUAAAAAACUAAGUUACACAAUAAAUGAGAGGUGUUUUGCAAUGUGCAUAUCUAAACCCAUCUUGGCGAUGUCACAUGUCCUCAAUAAGGCCUAACAUCAAUCAGAAAACAUGCAUCUUGGCAAAUAUCAGAAACAUUAAUUGACACAUAUCACCAAUAUUUUCUAACCCAAAAACACAGCUAAUUUACAUCCAAGGUGCAAAAACUAGAGAAGUAUUUAUUAGUUUGGCUAGGAAUGAGAGUGUACCUGGGGGUAUAGAAGCAUUGCAUUUCUUGCACUGAAUUGAAACAAAUCAGGAUCAAAUACAGAAUGUGAUAUGACAAUUUUCUUGUCAACAGCAAAAGAAUAAUUAAAUAGGGCCAGUAUUAUCAUACCUGUGCACGUGAAGAGUAGUUAUGGAAACCACAGUUGCAUAUCCAGUCACCAUUGCGCCAUUCUUUCAUAACAGGAGGCGCUUGAUUACUAGGGUUCUCAUAUGGAACUCCAGAACUAUGGUUUCCAGCAAAAGGCCAAGAAGCAGCAGAGUUAACUCCAAACUUCUCAUUCCCUCCCAAUGACCAGCUGGAGCUCAAAGGAAGCUGUUGGAGAGCACCAUUGCUUCCUAUACCAAUGUUCAUCCUUUGUUCCAGUCCUCCAGGGGCCCUAUCAAAAUAAUGUGAAUAAGUUGGUACAGAAGCUCCAGGCAUUGCAAUUGCUGGCAUAGCUGCUAUCUCCUUUGGUUGUCCGCACUUUUUGCACUUUUCUCUUGAUGCAUAAUUGUUGUUAGUGCAACCUAUUGAUCCAUUGCCACACAAACCCAACCCAAAUGCAGCCACGAGGAAAGGAAGCCAAUUAUACGCACACCAACCAGCCCAUCCCACACCAAAUAUACACAUACAAAAAACAUAAACAACUCAACCUAAUUGAUAGCAAGCUCCUGAAACUCGCUUGACAAAAUAAAAUAGAAAUUAAAGAAGCAAUUCAUCUUGCCCAACACAGUAUAAGAAUUGAACAAUAAAGAACUGCAAAAGCAUCAACAUUUGGCGUGGAAGUUCACAAAAUAGCAGAUCAAUAGCAAGUCUUCAAAUCAAAAGUAGGUGAUCUAGCACCUUGAAAAUUAACAAUGUGAGUCUGAAACCACUUCAUUCAUCCAUGCCAGACUAAGAAUUCCUUAAUCUAUAGCAUGUUUAGUAUAUGAUUAUGUAUUGUAAAACCAUUCUCCUAUUCCUGUCGAACCUCAUUUUGCAUGAGGUUUUAUGAAACAAACUAAGAAUUAAAUACCCAAGGCUAUUUGUUAGCCUAUAAAGCAAGCGUUCAGCUUGGAAAACAAUAAAACCCUGUUGUUACUAAAGUGACAAAAUGUAAAAAGCAGAGGAAAAUAAUACUAUCCUGUUCCAAAAUGGUAUAGCCAAACAUACCCCAGACUCAAAUGUCCGAUACAAUGCAAAUCUAAAAUUAAAAUUUCCUUUUCAUUUUCUUUCUCACUUUGUCGAACAAAAAAGUGAAACUGAUUACAGAGAACAAACACUAGAAGCAAGUGGACAAUUUCAACUGAUUUCAAGCUGCAAUUCGUUGCGACGUAUUACCUAAACACGUGUUCUCUUUCAAGCUAAAAUUGUCAGUAUGUUACAAGCAAACCUAACGUUACCUAUCAUUCAGCUCUAAACACCUUGUUUAUAAAACAUGAAACUCUUCGCUACAACUCCUAAACCCUCAAUCCCAUCAACAAAAUAGCGAAAUGUAUUCCAUCCACAAAUCAAAAUCAUUUCCGUAAACAGUAAAAACUAGCAAAUCCGGAACUAAUAAUCUGAAUAAAUAUGGAAAGCGAGAGAGAGACAGAAAGUAAAGAGAUGGAUACCGGAGCAAAUCCAAUCGCCAAUCCGAGGAAGCCACUUCGAGUCAGCAGGGGUUUUGGUGUCGACUAAAAGACGGGGCUGUUUGCACCUGUUGCAAAAAGAUCUAAACGCGUAGUUUCGAUUCUUACACCCAUUGCACUCCCAAUCUCCUUCUCUCCCUUCUCCCAUUCGUCUUCUCCGUCAAAAGUCAAAAGAGCUCAGGCAGUCAAUGCCCUGAUCUUUAUAUUUAUAGCUGCACAGUCCAGGUGGAAUUUAGAGACAAUCAGGCCAAUAGUAUGAGGUGUGUUGUUGUUGUAAUGUAGUUUUCGAGUUUCAGACAAUUGAGUAUUGACAACAAUGGUGUCUCGAUACCAGGGUCGCGGGAUUUCAAGGGAGAUACGUUUACCGCGGAUCAUCAAACAUCAAUCACACUUCUACGACUACGAUACAUAAUUUAUGCUCGAGUUCAUAUGGGCUCCUUUAGCAACUCCGGUCUCCCGCUUCAAUCAACUUCAACCCACACCUUUAAUUAUUUCUUCGGCCCAGAUACCACCAUUCUACUAAAUACCCCGUAAAAGGUAGGCCAUCACUUUUUUAUGUCGGUCCAAAGCAACUAACAUUUGAAUUAGAGUUAUUUAAUUUUUACCACUUAAUUCAUCGUGAAAUAACAAUUAGGUGUGACACGUGUUGUACCAUUAUAUUUUACCCAAAAAAAUUAUAAAAUAUUAUUUUUUUCCCGUUAGAUGACCUAUAGAUUAUUAAUUUUUUCCUUACUUUAAUAGAAAAAUACACAUAAAUGCUAAUAAAACGUAAAAAUUUUCACGACUGUCUUGAAAGCCCAAAAAUUUAAAUAAAAGCGUAUAUUUACACAAAGAACCUGUAACAUAAGGUGUCUCUAAUGCAUUUAUUACAAUAUUUUUUCAUCAAAUUAAAUAUUAAUUAUUAAUUAUUGAUAAAAAUUAACAAACAAAUAUAAUUAACAAACAAACAUGGACACAAACACUUGCAUGCUUAUGCACAUACAUACAUACAAUUAUACAAACAAUCACAGACAUUUCAAGUAUUGAAUAAUAAAAUUUUAUAUUUAAUUGAUAACAUACAUAUUUUUAAUUUUUAAUUUUGUCGGUAAUUAAUAAUUAAAAAUUAAAACUAAUUAAGUAUUUAAUUGAAUAAAAAAAUUAUUUAUUAUAAUGAUUUAUAUUUAAUUCAUAAUUCAUAAUUUUUUCCUCGGAAUGAGUGCAAAAUUGGUAGGUUAUAUGUUGACUAACGGACAACUAAUAAAAAAAGUAGUAAAAUAUAAGAUUUUGUACUUUUUAGUAGUAAAAUGUUACGUUGCAAUAUUUGUUUGCACUUAAUUGUUAUUUCACAAUAACUUGAGUAGUAAAAGGAAAAUUACACUUCGAGUUAUAAUAUUUUCUAUCAUCCGACUGAAUAAAUACAUACAAGAUGUGUAUACUUCUUAGAUUAGAGAAUGAGAAUGAGGAAUUGAUACUAUGUUUUUGUUUACUUCGAAAAAAUCAAUUGUGGAAUGAGAAUGAGAGUUAUGGUUCCUAGUAAAUUUAGAAAUAAGGAAUGAGACUUCUAUUUUCAGAGGAAUGUGUAAAUAAAAAUGGGGGAUAAGAAUGAGGAAUAAAUAGAUAUUUUUAUCAUUUAAGAAAUUUAAAUACCAUUUAAAUUUUAAAUGUUAAAUAAUAUAUAUAUAAUAUUACGUCUAAUGUUAUAAUAAACAUGCAUAUACUUCCCUAAAAAAUACUUAGUUAUUUGUUUAAGGGUAUUAUGAUAACUUAUAACAAAUUAUUCCAAUUACAAUACAAAAUAAACAAAUUAUAGGAAUAUAAUUCAUUCUAAUUUUGAUUCAUAUAACUCAAGCACACAAUUUAUUCUAAUUCUCAUUCCUCAUUCAAUUCAAACUCAUUUUGAUUCAUGCCCAUUCUUAUUUAUGAGAAAUAAACGCACCAACAAUAGAGAGUUAAAUUCCCAAAGCAAUAAACCUUAUGUAAGUACAUAUAUUACAAGUGUCCAAUCACAUCUAUUUCUCAUAUAUUGUGACUAGCAUAAAUUAUUAUAAUUGUGUUAUGAUUUAUGGAAUUAGUACGUGAUUAAUGUCAAUUAUUCAGGAGUAAAGUUGGUAGACUCUUUUAUUAUGUGAUUAAAUGUUAUAUUAAUAAGUCUAAUUUUGUUAUAACUUAAAUUGUGUUAUUUUAACUUAUAAUAAAAUAUACAAUUUUAUAUCAACACAUGAGAAGCCUGUAUACUCAUCCAAGUAUUUAAAUAACUAUGGCACAAUGAGAUUUAUGGUUCACUUAUUUUUUGAUACUUGACCAAGGGUAUAUCAUAACUAUUAAAUUGUUAUUAUACGAUUAAUGGAUGAAUGUGUUGGAUACAAAUUGGCAUCUUUAGCUUCAAUCGGAAUGUUUUGGUAACUUUGAAGAUGGGCAUUAAGUAAAUUAAAAGUCUUAUCUUAAAUAUUUAUCUACUAAUCAAGAAAAGUAGAAAGCAUGAAAUAAAAAAAGAAACACCAGCAGCUUUCUUUACGCCCUUUGUUUGGUUUCCUCACUUCUUCUUCAUCGGGACGGCGUGCCGACACAUUAUCUGGUGUAGUCGAGCCCAUCGAACUCAUCUUCCCUCUUGAAAUCAGAAGGUACCUUCGCGCGAUCAUCAUUCAUCCAAAUCCUUCUUGUUAUGUGCUUGAUUGAACUCAAUUUUGUUCUCAUUUGAUGUACGUAUGUUUACUAUUUUCUGCUUUUUUUUUUUUUGGGCGAAUCGUCAGCCUUAAUUUUGUACUUUUCUUUAGUCUAGGGUUUGUUUAAUGAUCAUUCUACAUUUCAUCACAAUUUAGUUAAUUAAAUUAGGGUUUUGGUAGUUCAGAUCGUUGAAUUGAGCUUUCAAGUGUGUAAACUUUUAUUUAUCUUGUAAAUUAGUAGACUUUUGACAUUGUUGUUAACAAGAAAUCAAAAAUUUGAAUUUUUUUUUUUUUUUCGUUUUCUUUUGAUCUCAUAUAAGUGAUCAUAAUCGCAAGCCUUUGGAUAUCUCAUGAUACUGAAAAUGUGUUCUAUUUAUCCAAAUCCCAUUUAUUCAGCUGGUAUUAGUGUAUUUUUUAUGCUUACAUAUCCAUUUUUUAACUCGUAAGUGCAUCUUGGUUCUGAUUUGUGGUUUUUAAUGUUCAGUGAUAGUGUGGCUGGAAUCAAAUAAUGGAAUAUUUGAAGACUGGAAAUUGGAAGUUCUUACACUUUUUCCAGAGUUUCAAUGAUUAUACCUUUUGAUAUUUAGGAAUCUAGGUGGACAGUGCAUAGAAUACAUAGAUUGAAAUGUUGGAAAAAUGUUAAAGUAUGGAUUGAGAUACAAUCCUGAUUUUAUAAUCUUAUCAUGCUUAUCAACUUGGUGGAGUUCGCAAAUAUCAACUGCAUGUAGAUUUUUUUGAAUAUACAGUGGGUUAAUUUUUGUGCAGGCGUUUCUCAAAAUUGUUAUGUAUAAUCAUUUUAUUACUGUUUGCAAAGAUAAUUGAGUAUUGAUUGGGAACAAAUUUGUUAAUUUAGUGUUUAGACCACUCAUAUAUAUGUUUGUAUCAUGUAGGAUAGGGAAUGGCAGCUGAGGAAGAUGUUGAUUUGUCUAGUUUGAAGUCUCAGAUAAUUGAAACUCAUGAAAUUUGGAAGCAAGAGAUGGAACGAAGCCAAUUCCAAGUGGAUGUAUUGCAGGAAAAGCUUAUGGAGGUAAAAACUUGUAUAAAGGAUUCUGAAGAAGAUGCAAAGAAGGAACUAGAAGUUCUUUGGCGAAGAGUGAAAACUACAGCAACAUUAUUAACUUACUUGAAAUCAAAAGCUAGAAUAAUGGCUGUUCCUGACUUAGCCCAUACAUCAUGUGGCAUCAGACAGUUAGAAGGAGUUGGCCUUGUUGACAAGAAUGGCACACCUUUGUCUGGUUGGUCUAGGAAUGUUGACCUGUCUUCAUUUAAUGGUUCUGACGAAGAUACAUGGAUUGGAAUUAGUAAGCAGCUAGGGUCUUCAGAUGAACAAGAUGGAGCUUAUAUAGGUGAAUUACUCAAAUCUGUGCAGAUGGUUACAGAUGUAAUGGAAGCUCUUGUUAAGAGGGUUAUAAUGGCAGAGUCUGAAACUGCUGUUGAGAAAGAGAAGGUAACUUUAGGGCAGGAAGAAAUCAGGAAGAAGGCAAAUCAAAUUGAGAAUAUGUCUUUAAAGUUGGAGGAGAUGGAGCGCUUUGCUUUAGGUACGAAUGGUAUUCUGAAUGAAAUGAGGCAGAGGGUUGAGGAUUUGGUUGAAGAGACAUCUAGACAGAGGCAGCGAGCUGCAGAAAAUGAACAGGAGCUUUGUCGUGUGAAGCGGGAUUUUGAAUCUCUGAAAAACUAUGUUAGCAGUCUUAUCAGUGUGAGAGAAACACUUCUUUCAUCAGAGAAGCAAUUUCAAACAAUUGAGAGGCUCUUUGAACGGUCAGUAUGCGUUGAAAUACUUGACUAUACUUCAUUUUAUUGUUGAGUGUUUGUCAGUAUUGUCAAGCAUCAUCUGUAGUAAUGCUCCAUUGAUUUGACGACAGGCCAUCAGCUGAUCCUUUUUGCUAAGAAGAAUCUUGCAUGCUUUAAUUCCCCUUGGAGUCCCCUCCCCACCUUGCCUUGGAAAUACUAUAUAGACAAAGCUUUUUUGUAUUUAACAUGAUAAUAACUUAGUGCGGAACUUAUGCUGAAACCAUUGUGAUUUGUCUGAAGGUGGCCUGGAUGUUUCCCCCUUCUUUUAUGAAACUCCUACAUGCCCCAUGUAUUCUGACACUAGUAGGCCUCUUUGUUAACCUGAGUCUGAACUCAGUCAAUAGGCUUAUGAGUCUAGCAGUUAAUUUUUGCAUACAGAGAAUCCUCUUCUAUGGAAUUCCCUCUCGCUCUUUGGCCAGUGCUAGUUGACAUCUUUUUCUCAUGUAUCAACUGAUUUUGUUCAUAUGGUAUAUUUAUCUAAUUAUGUUGGGAAGCAGGCUAGUUGCUAAAACAACACAAUUGGAGGGUGAGAAGAUGCAGAAAGAGGCAGAAGUUCAGAAACUCAUGGAAGAGAACGUGAGGUUAACUGCCCUUCUUGACAAGAAAGAGGCUCAACUUUUGGCCAUGAAUGAACAAUGCAAAGUGAUGGCCCUGAAUGCAUCAAACAUCUAAAUCUCACAGGCUUGUCUCAUUCUGCUCCCUGCUGGCAUGUAUGCCAGGUUGCUGCCCAAUUGGCAAUUGGCAAUUGCCAAGCUAACCACAGAAGCGGCAGGCUACUGAGCAAUGCUGUUUGAAGAUCUUGGAUCUCGUCUUCAAAAUGUUAUUUAUAAAGUGACCGGUCACUUGUUUUUACAUGUUGCUACUGUUGGUUUGGAAAACUGAAUCCGGAAAGUAUAAAAUCCAAAAAGUUGUGCCAUUAGAAUGAAAAUUUUGUGUGUUAAAAUCGAGAUAGCUUUAAUGUUUUAUUUUCAGUCAUGCAUCUGUGAUUUAUAUUUCUGAAAUACCCGGGUUUCUGGUUUCUGCAAACAAUCAACCCUCACUUCACUACCUCGACUGAUCAAAUUUCCUUAUUUUUUUCCCCCGGUCUGAACAUCUUUGUUAAUUUUUUGUUAUUUGUGUGUUUCUUAUCUUAUCAUACCAGUUUCUUAUCUCGUUUAAACAUUAAUCUCAGGAUUCAACAACGUCGAAUGUGGAGAUGACCAGUUCAAAACUAAAGGGGUCAACUCGAAUUUAAUGAAAAGCAAAGGUGUAGUAUUGAAUUUAACCAAACAAUAGUAAGUAGUUUUACUAUUAUAACCUUCAAAUAUAUCUUUCAAGUAAGGGUGCGUUUGAAAUUAUAUUCAGGAAAUUUAAAAGUGAUUUUAAAAAAGUAAAAUUUAAUUUUAAUGUUUAGCAAAUUUCUUUGUAAUCGCUUUUAGUAAAAUCGUUACAUCAGAUUUAAAAAAAUAUGGAACCUAACAUUAGAUUUAAAAAAGUAUGGAGCAUGUUUUAAAAUUUAAUUUUAAGAAUAAGUUUUAUACUUAAUACAAUUUUAUAUACAUCCUUAUAUAUAUUAUGAAAAUCUCAAAUUAUCGUUGUUAAUUAAAAAAAUAAAAUAAUUAACUUUAAAGAAAUUAUUAUUACUAUUAAUCAUAUUGAGAUAAUAAAAAUAAAUUAAUAAUAUGAAAUAUUCACUUUAAUUGUCAAUGAUUAUAUAUACACAAUAAAAAAAUAUUAUAUAUAUAUAUAUAUAUUUAUAAAUAUAUAAAUAAAUUUUAUUUAAUUUAUAGUGCAAAAUUUUUUUAUUAAUUUUAUUUGUAAUUAAUUAUUUUUAUAACACAAUUAAUAAUAAUUAUUUUAAAAAUUACAAUAAUUUAAUUUAAGUUAAAAAAAAAAAGUCAAUAAUACAAAUUAUUAUACCCUAAAUCCUUAAAUCCUAAACCCCAAAUACCUCGUUGUCCUCGAAAAACAAAAAUUUACAAAAUAUUCAAAUGUGUCCGAUUUCAGAAUAGAUUACAACAGGAAACAGCUGAGAUUCUGAAAGAAUGGAAGGCGAAAUCGAGCCGGUCGAUUGUGCUUCUGCCUCAAAGCCACCUCGUAUCGAAAUCCCCAAAGUUCCUGAUGAUAGCGAGAAGCCGGUACUCUGUAAACCCUAAUUUUGAGCUCACUCUUACUUCUUUCUCACUGGAGGCUCUUGUUGUGUUGUCAGUUGGCGCUUCUUUAGUUGUUUUGCACAUUAAAAUUACAAACACUAGUAUUUCAUUUUUCGAGUUUUGCAUUUUAAUUGCAUAUUAAGCUACUCGUUUUGACAGUUUGGCUUUUGUUUCUUAUUUAGAUUGCGAUCAAGAGACUUAAGGAUGUGGAAAUUUGUGUUCCAAUAGUUUACGGAACAAUGGCAUUUCAUCUUGGUCGAAAGGCUAGCGAGUAUGUGUUUUCAUCACUUGCCGUUUUUAUAUUGUUAGUGUAUAUGAGUAUAAUUUCUGCUAGCUAACGUUUACUUUGUCAUUAGGUCUCAGUCGCAUAGGUGGACUGUCUAUGUUCGUGGGGCAACAAAUGAGGAUAUUGGGGUUGUAAUUAAGCGUGUAGUGUUCCAAUUGCAUCCCAGUUUUAAUAACCCUACAAGAGUCGUUGAAUCACCUCCAUUCGAGUUACAAGAAUGUGGGUGGGGGGAAUUUGAAAUUGCUAUCUCGCUUUUCUUCCAUAGUGACGUUUGUGACAAGCCGCUGGAUUUGUGAGUAGUUUUUGCUUUGCGUUACUUUGUUGGUUUAUCUGAUAAGUUAUGUUCUUUACUGAUAUGGUGAUUCGUUCUUUUCAGGUACCACCAUCUGAAGCUAUAUCCAGAAGCUGAAUCUGGUCCGAAGUCAACCAAAAAGCCUGUUGUCAUGGAAUCCUAUAAUGAGAUUGUUUUUCCUGAGCCUGCUGAGGGUUUCUUUGCUCGUGUGCUGAAUCAUCCUGCUGUUGUUGUGCCGCGGCUGCCUGCUGGAUUUGCCCUGCCCACCCCAGGUAAAGCUUCUUGCCUUUUUCUUUUUGGGGUUUGGGUUGGGGUGGGGGGGGGGGGGUUGCAAAUUUUUGCUUGUUAGGAAAUCCAUGUGGUUAUCAUUAGUGUUUGAACUUCUGCAGUGCCAAUUGAUAGCGUGCAUGAGAAGGGGAGAGGUGAUACCAAGAAUCAUCCUCUCAGUCACUGGUUUAUGAAUUUCUCAGAGGCAGAUGAACUUUUGAAAAUUGCAUCAGCUCGCCAGCAGGUUAGAAUCUUUUUUUGUUGUUUUGAUUAGCUAAUUAACUGGGUUAAAUUGUUUAGAAGAGUUCGUGAUACAUAUAGUUGUAGUUAUAUUACUAAUUGCUAUCGAGUUUGCUAUUUUGCUUACCAAGUAGUUUGGGAAUAGUAUCACCCAUUACCUCUUACCACCAUCUAUGGCUACAGCCAGUUCUUAUAACGGCGAUUAGUUGAAGGUGGUCAUUAUAACUUGUUUUCGUUCCAUGUCUGACUGUCCUGUAUCAUCUGGGAUACAAAUUAUAAGUUCUUCCACAACCUUUCACAUGGUAAUGAGUAUGACUGUUUUAGAGAGGCCAUUUCUAAUUACAUAAACCAUUGGCCCCACUUUACUGAUACUUGCUGGCACUUCUGCUUUUAAUUACAUGAACUAUUGGCUCCACCUUUGUGGUACUUUCUGGCACAUCUGCUUUAGUUUUGGAAACCUGGAAUUUUAUUUUAUCUGAUUGCUUAUGCAAAUUGCUAGGUGCAAGCUCAUAUUAUUAAGCUGAGAAGAGAACUGAAUAUGAUGAACGGGCUGCCGCCACCACCAAACCCUGCAUCUGGGCAUGAUUAUGCAUGAUCAUGGUAGAAUAUGUUUGGGUUUUGUUAGCAAGUGUAAAAUGUGGAAGAUUGGUGAUGUUAGAUGUAAACAAGUAGAUUAAUCCUAGUUCAAAUGACCUUUUUACAUUUAUCUUAUUGUAUUAUAAAUGUAUAUUUUCUGUAAGAGGCAAGUGACUCAAGUAUAGCAGUGUAACAACAAUGGAUUAUUGUGAAGUAGUUUGCUAACUCCCGCCCGGGGGGGGGGGGGGGGUGGGGGCGUGGUGGGUGGGCAGUGGGGGACUAUGGAUUUUGUAUUUGGUCUGAUUGUGUAAAUUUAAAGAAAGCUUGAGGCGAGGCAGUUAGUUGAUUUUUUUGUCUGUUUUGUGCAGAGAGAGAGAGAGAGAGAGAGAGAGAAUGCUAUUGUUUGAUGUUGCAGCUGCUAGUUGCUUGGUAAUGCACUUUUGUCCUAGUUCAUGUUUUCUGAAGUUGAUUGAAAGUGCAACAUUGCUUAGAUUUAGUUAUGGGACGCCAACUUGCUUAUGCUAAAUUCCUUUUAUAGUUAGUGCUUGUUUGUUAUGCCUUAUCUAAUGGCUAUAAGUACUUAUCUCAUAAGCUCUUUUUGAAAUUUUUGUUGUUGAUUAGGCUCCAUUUGGUAUAACAUUUGAAAUAGAGUUCAUUUAAGUAGAUCUUGUGUUAGUAGAACUUUUACCAAAAUGAUUUUAGUUAUUUAGUUGUCAAUAAGAAUUUUUAUCAAAAACGAUAAAAUUAUUUUAAUAGAAAAGUUGUUUAAAGUUAUGUCGUGAAAAAGAUGAAAUAAAAUUGUUAAAUAUGUAUAGAUUGAUUGUCUGUGGAGAUAAAAGAACUUAUUUAAUCGUUAAAGUUUUACUUAAAAAAUAACUAAACAACCAAAAAAAAAAUAUUAAAAAGAGCUUAUGAGAUUGAAUAAGUAAACAUGCACUUAGUUGUUCCUUGAGUAAAGUUUUUGGGGUUUAAAUAAAUUAUUUUAUCUCUAUUAAUAAAAUUUUAAAUUUUGUACUUUUGGGAGUAGAGGUUUUAGAGUUUUUUUUUUUUUAAGUUUAACUAUUUAAGACGUCUAUUAUUUAUUUUACAUUCUUAUUUCAUUCUUUUUAUAAUAUAAUUUUAAAAAUUAUUUAUUAAAGUAAUUUUACAACGUUUAAUAAAAACUCUCAUUGUAACCAAACGAUAAAAUUUUUUUGGUAAAAAUUUUAUUCAAAUAAAUUAUGGUUGAAAAGUUCUUUCAAACGGAGCCUCAACAUUUCUUUCACGCGUAUACUUCUUUAUUCUUCAACUUGUGUGAUCGUUGUCUAUGUUUAUUCUCCUGUUGGUUUUUAUUUAUCUAGGACAAGUCUUAGGAGUAGGACUUGUGUUAUCUUUAUUUAAUCCUACAAAUAACUUUCAUUUAAAUUAUGUAUAGGUUGAUUGCCACCAAAGGGAUAGUAUGCAUAAUAACAGGCCUGUCUUGCUAGAAUUGAUUUACAAUAAGAGAUGUUCUUGAAACAAUAAGACAAAAGUUGAUUGAAUGGUUAAAUCUGUAAGCUGAACUCAGGUGCUUGGGCAAUACUGAUCAUUUUCGGCUUUACAAGUUUGUUCUAUUUGGAUGUUUUGACGACACAAGUAACAUGGGCUUCACAUGUUCAUAAUCGUGCAACGGUCGCCAUCUACCGGCCCAUUAUAACGGACCCAUUAUUAUGGUCCUGAGAGAAAAAGACGAAGAGAUUAAACAAGGGAAAUCGUUGUUAGCUUUGCCUCUUGAUUGACAACGAUUGGCUAUCCUCUCGCUUUAUCUUUCACAUGCCUACUUAUUGUUCAGUCCCAGAACAUGAGCAACCGCCAUUGCCCAUAGUCUUUCCUAUACUCUCUAUCGGCACAAACGUGGCAUCCAUGUCCAAGAAUUUUGAUUGAGUUGGGUUUUUGGUAGCAAGCGAUAAUCAAGAUUCUUACCCUCGGACACUCAUAGUUGCCCUUGAAAGUAUCGAAGAUUGAAGGUUAAUUUUAUCAAGCCAUAAAGAAAGACAAAAAGGUAAAAGUUGAACCUUUUGAAAAAUAAUAAUAAAAACAAAAAUCAAAUUAAGGAUGUUGAUUAAAGAUAUAUAGGGUGCGUUUGGUAUUGAAGUUGGACAGUUGUAAUUUUUUAAAUUACAGUAUUGAAGUGUUUGGUAAACACUAGUUACUGAAACUUGAAAACUAUAUUGAUUUGAUUUUUCAUUUAUAUAAUAAAAAAAUUAGUAUAUGUUUAAUAAUUUUGUCAAAAUUAUUAUUUAAAAUUUAUAUUCACUACAUAUUAUUAAUUUUUAUUUAAUAAUUAUAAUUUUUUUCCACAACAACUGUAAUUUAAAAGAUACAUUAUUUCAAUUCCAAAUAAGACUGCAGUAAACUGAAAAUAUCGGAGGUAUCCAAAAAGACAGUAAUAUGAAAAUAUGGGUCUAGAAGAUAUAUUGAAUGACCUCGGGGGGGAAUUCGGCUUAAAAGUGAGAAAAGAAUGACGCUACUUGCGGGCCCAAUUAGUGUCUGCUUACUUCUCUUUUCUCUCUCAUAAUCUCUGGAUUAUUUAGCUUUCUGGAUUAGGUUUUGAUUUGGACCACUGGGCCAGUCAUCAUGAAACGAGCUUUAGUCUGUUCAUCCACGCGUCCCAAACGUAAUUAAAAUAAUAAUAAUAAUAAUAAUAAUAAUAAAGACGUGUGCCCUAAGUUGGCUGGAAUUUGAACUUGAAAUACACUUUCGGCUUUUCGUUAAACAUAUUUCUGAGACUAUAGGUUUGUCUUGCCUCACAUUGACCUUGUUCAUCACGGAGAAUAUGUUACAGAGUUUCCAUAAUAAAUGCUUUCACUGAAAGAGCUUUUAACAAAAGUCUCUUGGUUUAGCUUUACGAAUAGACACUUACAAGCAACUAUUACAAAAAAGAAAGACUUUGCAGAAGAAAAAGUUAAAACGACUCUCAAAGUAUGUUUGCAAAUAAAAUUUUUUUUUUUUCAAUUACAUUGCACACCUUAAUCCCACCUCAUUCUCGGAUUAAAUCUAUCCCCCUAAACUUGAAUUUGAGGCCUGUUGUUUCCACUGCACGAGUUAAGUCAAUAGACUAUGACUAUGCAUGAAAUUAUUAAUUAAAAUGAAACACGCAAUUGCAAAUAUACAUACAGUGGGACAGAUUAAUAUAAGCCAAAAAGGGAAAGAUGAAUAAAUAAAAUGAUAAUGUAAGAGGAGGGGGGCAAGGAAGAAAGUGAAAGACUCAGAAACGUGCAAGCAUAAUUACGGUGACAGGUUUUAUGUUCCCCUAAAAAGGCACAGCGAUUCGGUGGGCCUAAUGCCUGUCGGCUAGUUGACCAGAUGACUAAUUGCUAACCGGAAGAAGGGCUCGUAACUCAUUUAAGACAGCGUAAGUUAAGCCCAGCCAAGUCUAGAAGAUAAGCCGAAACGACGAAGCGUAUAAUUACACUAGUAGUACGAGACAAAAGUUUGGCCUUGGUCGCUAACUCGUUAUGAUGCUAUGGGUCGAUUUGGUACAGUUUUUUUGUUUUUAGUAGAAUUUUAAAAAUAGAGUUUUCGAUAAAAAAAAAAUUGUUUGGGUAUUUGACUGUUAAUUAAAGAAGUAUUUUUGAGCCACCAAACUGUUUGGUUCCAUAAUAUUAAAAGUAUUUUUGUAAAGUUAAAUUAUUGAAAAAAAUAACUAAAAAAACUUACUUUAAAUCAUAAAUUUAGAUAAAUCACGAUAUUUAUUAUUUAAUAUACUCACUUUACACAAAGAUUUAAAAUAAACUUCAAUUAAAUUUUAAAUAAAUCUCAUAAUUCAAAUAUGCAGUAAUAAACUUUAUCAAUAUGCACCAAAACUAUCAACUAAAAAGUUUAAAAUAAACUUCAAAAAUCAAAACAAAAUCUUGCAAAAUGAAUAAACAACAAACAAAUAAAAUAAAUAAAAUAAAUAAUUCACAUAAUACAUAUACUAAUUUGUGUGGACCACAUGAGCAUAUGAAUAUAUUAAACAAUAGUAAAAUAAGUGAAUAAAGUGAAAAGGUAGUUGAAAAAUGGCUGUAAAGUGAGGAGAAUAAAUAAUUUAUUUGAUAAAAGAAAGUAUUAGAGACAAAUCGUGAUUGCUGCUGCUUGACAAAAUGUGGCGCCAAGCGGAGAAAUCUUUAUUGUAUAUACAAUAGGGUUUUUUGAAAUUAGUGAAAUAUUGUUAGAGUUUUUUUCGAGAUUCUAUAUGUUUUCAAAAAUCUCAAAAAGCUCUAUUUGGAGAAGCCUAAAUUUUGAGCUUCUUCAAGUAUAAGCAAAAUAGUUUUUUUAAGAGUAAUGAUACAGCCACAAACUCUUGUACAAACUUAUUUUGUACAAAUUGAUGUGGCAUGAUAAGAUUAGUUGAAUUAAAUAUUACUUGGCCCACAUGAUUUGUUUUUAUUAAUUUAUAUUUUCAUUCAACCAAUGAAUUAAUGCCACGUCAGUUUGUACAAAAUAAGUUUGUACAAGAGUUUGUGGCUGUAUCAUUACUCUUUUUUUAAAUCCAAAAACUCUAUUACAAAUGAAACCAAACAACUUAAUAUUUUUUCAAAAGAGUUUUUGGGUUAAAAAAAGCUUUUUGGAUAAUAGAAAAGCCUAACCAAACUAGGGAUGGCAAAAUCCGCCACGGGUUUGGGGCCCCAUGGAGCCCCACCCCAAAUGGGGAAAAUUUUGAAUAAUUUUUGGGGAAUGGGGUGGGGAGUGGGGGGAAAAUAAUCCCCAAAUUCUUAAUGGGGUGGGGUUUGGUUUUGUACUCCCCACCCCACCCCCACCCCAAUCCCCAUUAAAUAUAAAUAUGUUUUUAAUUCUUAUUUAAUAAUUUUUAUUUUAUCAAUUAUAAUGUCAAUUAAUAUUUUUUUUUAAUUUUUAUGCAAUAUAAACAAGAUAUGAAUGAAAGAAAAUCCUAUAAUAUUUUUUAACUCUGAAACAUUGUUAUAUUUUCUUUUCUCUUUUAAGGUGCUACGCUCUUUAAAUAUUUUUCACUUUUAAUAUCAUUUUAAGAUAUUGUUUCAAACUUUUAGAUAUUUUUUUAAAAGAAUUUAAAUACUUAUAAUAUGAUGAUGAUUUUAUUUUAAGUCUCUAAUUUUUAUCUUACUAAAAUAAUGUAUUUAUAUAUAUUAUAAAAUAGAUAAAUGGGGAAUGGGGUGGGGAUGGGGAAAUCAUUCUCCAUAUGGGGAUUCUCCAUCCCCACCCCACUAAAUUUAUUGGGGAAUGGGGUGGGGAAUGAAAGUAAAAAUUUCUAACGGGAUGGGGAAUGGGGUAGGCCUCCCCACCCCACCCCACCCCAUUGCCAUCCCUAAACCAAACAUACACUAUGUGUAAUUGUGCACGCGGUUCAUGAAAUUUAAAAAAAAGAAAAAAAUGUAAUAUCAUAAUUAUAAUUUUCUAUACAAAUUAAUGUGGUAUUAUAUCAUUGGUUGAAUAACCCCCUAGGGACUUGGUUAUUGAUUAUGUAAUAAUAUGUAUGAGACCCUAUUCCUCUUUCUGAUUUGUCCUAAUUUUUAUAAGGCUCGCUUGUGUAAUAUAUAUAUAUAUAUAUAUAUAUAUAUAUAUAAUACCAUCGAUUGAAUGAAAUUAUAAAAUAAUAAUAAUAAAUUAUAUAGAUUAUAUAAUAUUUUUAUUUAACAAAUUAUAUUAUAUCACGUGAAUUUAUUAAAAAAAAUAUCAUUAUUCAAAGACUAGAAAUUCAGAUAAAUUGGUGCAGCCUAAACAAAAAAUAUCUUUAAAUUUUAAGAGACCAGAAUUCUCCCACAAUGUCUGAUUUGAAAACAGGCAUUGCCAUUAUCCAAUAAUUACUAAACUUUCAUCCCAUCAGAUAAUGUUUUAUAGUCAAUCACGUGACUUCCACACAGUAUUUUAAUGUUAAUUCCCAAUACUAAUAUUUCUUACAAUAACACGUGAGUCUUGAGCAAAGCUUACUCUGUAAAAUUAUAAUUAGCAGUGAGUGUUUAAAUGAUUUUUCUUUUUCAUUUCUUUAGAGAACAAAGAAUAAUCGUUAAAAGAGUGUACCACUACCAGCGAAGUUGAAAGCUCAAGCUCUAGCACAUGAGCUUUGGCUUUUGCUACAUACGGACACGAAUAACAAGGAGAAAAUGACAAUUCUUGAGAGAAAGACACGAGCAAUAACAGAAAAUUGGAAUAUAUGCUCAGUUCCGAAUUUUUCCAGUCUCCGAAUAAUGGUUCAUUGCUAGAUACCAAAGCAAUAAACCUUUGAGGGGGAAAUACUUGCGACUAUAUAUGGAGCCCCAUGUUCCUAAGAGAAGGACACUAGUAAUUAUAGAAACUGGAAUACAUCAUGCACAGUUCCGAAUUUUUCCAGACUUAUAAUAUAUAAUUAGAAUUGGAUUCGUGAAGACGAAACUGCAUAAAACAUGAGAGGGAAAGACAGACUAGGGCCGAUUAAAUGGACCCCAAUUGUCCUUGAACAAGCCAACCAAGUAGGGCAAGCGGCAAGCCCCAUUUGAGUUCAAAAGCACCAUUUGAUCUGUGCACCGUCCCCACAUCCCACAUGUUCCUUGCUCCAAUUCACACUCAAAUCUCUCCAUAAAUACACCCUCUAAUCCUUCAAUCCUUCCCUACCAUCAUCUCUCUAGCUAGUUUUAAAUUCAGUAAUUGCUCUUCGUGAUCCCCCACCACUAUUACAAUCAAAGCAAAUUUACCUACUACAAAUAUAAUUAACCCAAUGGCUAUCCAAGAAAUUUUCAAACAAUGCUCAAGCUUUGGGAAGAAAUGCAGCUGUGAUCAAGACGGCCAUCCAAAUGAUGUGCCAAAAGGCCAUUGUGUAGUGUAUGUUGGAGAGAAUCGAAGCAGAUACAUCAUUCCAAUAACAUGGUUGAAUCACCCAAAGUUCAAGAAUUUACUUGAAAAAGCAGCAGAGGAAUAUGGGUACAAGCAUGAUCUGGGUAUCAUCCUUCCUUGUGAUGAACGUGCUUUCCGGCAGGUAACAUCUUGGAUCAUAUGAAGUGAAUACUUCUAGGGAUAUAAUUAUAACCACAAGGAUAAGCUAAUUACUAAGCCACGUUUUGUAUCGAAUAACAAAGAGAAAGCUGCAUCGGUUCAGCUGAUGCUGAUCUCGUGUGUGUGUGUGUGUGUAUAAAUAUUCUUCUAGUCCGCACGGUGGUUUUGACUAUGACUACAUUAAUUAGCAUAUAUAUAAUGUAUCUAUAUGAAGUUUUCAUCAAGUGUACUUCUUGAGAAAGCUUAGACUAAUGACAGAAAUUAAUGGGGUUACUCCCUAUUUUAGUUUAAAUCUUUCUCAUUCUGUAUUUUCCACUACUUGGAUAUAUAGAUUUCGAUAUUAAUGAUGGCUAUAAGUGCAAAUAUUAUAUUCCUUGACUUUGAAUGCUUAAGAAAUUAAGUUACAUCUUAAUGUUAAUUGAAAUUUAACCAUGUAUUGUCAUAAACACAAACUUGGCAGAAAUAAAAAAAUGAUCAACACAGCUAAUAUCAUAAACAACUUCUUCUUUAUCUAUUGAGCAAUUAUAAUAUUUUAAUAAAAGCUAAAAGUUUUAAUAUUUUAAGUUACACUUAAAAAAUCUGAAUCAAUGUCAAAGGGACUCCUAAUAUUUGCAUAAGUGAGCUUUGGGUGGAGCUGUUGGGGUGAGUAUCGUUUAUCUUUUUAUUAGGACUCAUCACUUUGUUUGUCAUGUGUGUUUGUCGAACAAAAAUAGUUUUGCAAUAGUGAAACAUGUAGAGACCUAACUGGCCAACUGUUUUAGUAAUAAACCAUUUACAAGAAGAGGUACCAAAAAAAAAAAAAAAAAAGCAGCAAAAGAUACUGAUAUCCUGGGGUUCAUUGUUAGGCUUUCUACAUUCUAAUCAUCAAUUUUAGAUUUUUUGUUCCGCGAUAUGCAUGCAGAUUAAUUUUUCAUCAACUGCAAAAAGAUAUGCAAACAAAGGAAAUCUUCGGGAAACUCUCUGUUUAUUUAACUGAAAUUUCUGUCUUUUCGGUUUCACCUGGCUUAUGUUUGUCCAGAAGAAACAGCCCUGCACCGGUGAGACCGGUAAAGAGAGAGAUUUCUUCUUACUAAUAAGACGUCUAAAAGCUAUGUUAUAACAAUUUUUUGCUCCAGUAUUGUGGGCUUAAUUACUUUUAAGUGAAAGAGGGUAAAAGAAAAAGAUACUGAGAAAGAUGGUGACAGUUCAAAGUAGUGGGUUUACUGAUGUAACACAACAGUGUCUUCACAUUUAUCUGUCAACGUACGGCAAACAUGAUUGCAUGGCUUCUACCUAUAACAGUAGCUUAACCUUAUGCUGUGCCCGUGCCACGAGCAAGCAAAAGCAAUCAGCCGUCCCGUGAAAUAGUGUACGAGAGUCUCAGUAAAUCAAUGCACAAUGUCUUCAGAUUUGAUUCUCUUGGGCGAAUACUGUUUGAGUCAGCAACAGUUUUACUCGGACAGACUCCUUGUGUCUGGAGAAUGGCGUUGUCACUUCACUAAAGUUUUUUCUUUUUUCAACAAUUUAAAAGGACCAAAGAUGGAACCCUAGUUAGGUCCAAGUAUAUGAAACACGUCUUCAAAUUGCAGAGGAGAUUCAGCAGAGGCAUCAUCUCAGUUUGUAUUUUUUUCUUUUUCUCACCGACCCACGAACUUCGAGAGCAUAUAGAGGCAUAAUUCCAAGAAUACACAUAAAUUUAUAGAACAGAGUUCAGUUCAGCUUUGAUGAUAUUACAAAGAUUGCCAUUUAAUUUUCUCAUCUUAUGGAUUUUGAUUGCGUACAAACUUUAGUCAUCACUAAGUUCUUCUAUUAAGUAAUAAUUAGAGAUCACUCAAACGCACACUUGGCACACUAGUGAAACACUAGGUACCAAUGUAGCAAAUAGGGGCGUUAUAUUUCAGAGAUAGAUAAGAUGAACUAAGAAAGGGACGUCAGCGCAUAUUUCUUAAUUUAGCAAGCACUUAAUUACCAAAAAAAAAAGAUAAGGCUCCAAAUUAAAAUGAGAAAAUUGAAAGACCCAAACCGAACGACUGAUUGAUUUUUUUGUGUGUUGGGGGGGGGGGGGUGGAAAUUGAUCAAAUUAAUUUGCAAAAUCCACGCACCCAUCCAAAUUUUUGGUCAUUUCAUUGCUACGAGCUCUAUGAGCUGAAUAAGGAACUUUGAUUUAGAGAUUGGGUUAGUUGAAAUCCCUAUCACUUGCUGCAUUUUGACGUCUGAUAAGAUGUUGGCCCGAUAUUAAAGCAGCAUGCUUUAACAAUAUUCAUUUUUUGCGAAGUUGAUGCACAUGCGAGUGGGGACUAUACUGUCAAGCUGGUAGGGUUUUUUCUGGAAGAUCUCUUCUUCUUUGUCCCCAUUAUUUUUAGAACCUUUUAGUCAGCGUGUAUAACUUGGAUGCCUAAUUCAGUUAGUUCUUGCAUACAAAUGGUUCAUGCACAUUGGUUUCUAUGUGUAUGUGGUUUGAAUCUUUUACGUAUUGAAAGAAACAUAUUUUGGAUGAAUUUUGGAUGGCCUCUCAAUUAGGCUUGGAAGAGUACCUACGUAAUCAACAAAAAAUGGCUCAAUUAGUAUUUCGCAUUCACUUAACAUAUUUAAUAUUUUUCUCCAUCGUGUAGGGUUAGGUAAUAAUUAGGUUUACACUCUGUGUGUCUCCUAUGAUUAAUCAUUUUGAUUUCUAAAAUAAUCCAUGCUUAAUUCAAUUUAAUGUAUGGAUAAUCAGUUUCACCUAUGAUGGUUGUCAAUUCCCUCACUGAUUAUACUUAUAUAACUUACCUCCCUACUAUUUUCAUAAUAUACAAUAACCUCCUAAACACUAAAAUUUUAAAGGAAAAGGAAGGUGAAUAGGUCAUUUAUUAAUAUUUGAUUUUAGAAAUUUAAAUAUAUAUUUAUUAUAAGAGACAAAUGUCUAAAAAAAAUAAAAAAAGUACAAAAAUCUUAUUAUUAAUUUUUUUAUUAACACUGAAACUUAUAUUUCUUAUUUUAGUAUUUAAAUUUUUUAUUUCAAUUUACAUAAUUAAAUAUGAAUAAAAUCAUAUUUAAAAACAAUGGCAAUACUAUAAAAUUAUAGUGUCAGGAGAUUAUUGGAAAAGGUAGGACUAUUUGGACCCAUCAAUUUUCUCUGUACACUCUCUUUCUAAUUAAGAAUUUAAUUAUCUAAAUAAUUUUUAAAAAUUUACUUAAUUAACUCUUCACAAAUUCUAAUCAAUUCAUUCAGUUAUAUUCUUUUAGCAUAAAUUGAUAUCACAAAGUAAGAGAAAUAAAACCCACUAUUUAAAAUUCAACAUCAAUAAAUUUUUAUUAGCCAUGAAAGUUAACAAAUAUCAAGAAAUUAAUUUUUACCAAACACAAAAGUUAAUGAAUAUCAAGAAAAUUUUUCUUAUAUAUAGAAAGUAUGAAAUAGAGAUCAUGAUCUACUAAGAAAGGAAAAAAAAUUCAAAAGAGAAUGAAAUUGGAUGUUUGGUUUAUAGAAUAUGAGUAUAGAGAGAAUAUAUAAUUGUAAGAUAGAGAAAGAGAUUAGUAAAAUAAGAUUUUCAGAUCUUCAAAUUUUAAAUUUUUAAAAAUGAAUUUAUUUUUAAAAAAAUGUGUGUAGAGAGGAAUUUUUGUGGAUUCAAAUAACCCCACUAUAUUGGAUAUUAUGAAAAUAAUAUGGAGUACUAAGUGAUUUAUAUUAAUUUCAGUAGAGAGAAAUUGGUGAUCUACCCCCAAACUAAUUACUUUAUUUUAUUUAACUAAGAGUGACCAGAGCUUAUUAUAUUUUCUAUUAAUCAUUUAUCAAUUGCAGACUGGAAAUCCUCAGAUCCCUCAGCUAGCAUUUACUUCAUUGUGAUUCUUUUAGAACUCCAAGUUGAGCUCUGAAAUGGAAAUGGAAUACGGAUUUCUCAAACUACUCUAAGGCAAGAUACAUAAUUCAAUUUGAUAAUUAUACGAAAUAUUGAAUCUACUUGACCUAAUAGCUUAAAGUGUUAGAUGAAGUUUUAAUAAAGGCGCUCUUAUAUUAAAAUGAAAAUUGAAAAUGUACUUGAAGAAUUAAAAUUGAACUCAAGACUUUGACUCUAGUUCUAGUAUAUAUAUAUAUAUAUAUAUAUAUAUAUAAAUCUAGCAAUGAGUCUCAAAUAAUGUGUCUAACUAAAUAGGAAAGUGAAAGAAAAUUAAAUUAAUCAAUUUCUUAAUAUCCAAUCUGCAGUAUUAUUAUUUUUUUGAUACCAGCCCCUUUCUUUGGAGCGCACCGUCUGCUUGUCUGAUGACAUUUGUGGGAAUUUCUGGCUGCUUUUCCUCUAAUAUAUAUACUACGCCAUUUAUGUAGGAUUGAUGAAUGCAAUAUCAAGGAAAUCCCAAGUGGAGGUUUGAAAAACUUUGUGGUGCGUCUACCAGAUCUAAUUUAAAUGUCGCCUCCAUCUCUCACACUUAUUACUGUUUUUAGGAUGCAGUUAAGGGUUCAACUACAAUGUACCAUAUAUAUGUAAUAUCCACCACAAUUUCUUGUUUUUGAUAGCAUAAUUUUCAAACAUUGUAUGUCGCAUACUCGCAUAUUAAAUAAAUACAUAAGUAUCAAAUAUAACGAUAAGUUUUUAUCAAUAACCCAACAAAAUAAAAAAAUGUUACCGAUAGUAAAGAAAAAUUUGACGGAUAUGUAAUAAAUGUUACAUCUUAGCGGAAGUCAAGAACUUUUUGUAGAAUGGCUACGCUAUUUUUUUUUUAAAGCCAAAAAAAUAAAAGAAAAGAAAAACUCAAAGUAAGCCCUCAAAUCAUAACACUUUUUGGGUUUGAUAAAUACCUUGUGAAUUAAGUUUAUUUAAUAAGAAAAAUUAUCAACUUCAGGGUUAAGACUAUGGUAACCACCGGCCACUGGGUACCAUACCAACAACCCGGCACUAUUAGAUAGUUGUAGUUUAUUGAUUUUUAAUAAAGUCUUAAUUAUUCCACGAUGCUCAAACUCUAGUGUAUCGUACCCUUUGGGAAUCAUAGACAAAACCAAUUUUUGUGAAAUUACAACAUUAGUAUUAUAUAGCAAAAAAAAAUAAAAUUAUGACGUGAUUAUUUGAACCCGCUAAACUACUUAUGAAACUCUACUUUUAAAAAUUAUUUUUUAUUACUAAAAUGUCUAUAACCUAAAUUACUAUUAUAGACAACUAAAUCCCUAAAUCUAUUUGUUGUACGCUCAUUUUCUUUGAUUUUUUUUUAAACUCAUCUCUUUGGGGUUUCUUUCUCAUUAACAACUGUUGUUGGAAUGAAGUCUUAAUGAUUGGAUUAGGCGAAAAGCUUUUGGCCGGUAAAGCUCCUCUUGAAUUUUGCCAAUAAAUUCUUUCCAGUCAAGUUUCUUUGGAUUAAAUGUGAAGGGUUAUUUUGCAUGGUAAUUGUCUGAUAAUUUUGAAUGGAUGGAUUGUCAUACAAUUCAUUUUGGAAUUUUUCAUGUCUACUUUAAGGAUUGAAGAGGUAUUCUGAAAAAAAUCUGCUGAGUGGCUCGACAAGUUACUUUAACUUAGGCUAAUCAAAGCAAGCAUGCCUUGUUAUUUUAUGAUACGAACAAUUAAAUUACUUUUCCGUAUAAAAACAGCCAUGUGAGAAUGAAAAAAUUUAAAGGACUUCGAUUCUUUCAGUUGCAUGAUUACAAAUACAACUUUAUUAUCAUGAAUGUUUCUUGAAUUUUCUAUAGGUUUGUAGUGGUUUACUGCAAUGCGUUCAAGACUUUAACGGAUAAACAAAAAAUUAAAGAAAUGGGAGAUUUGAGAAUUGAGAGUGAAACCUCGACAAAUACAAUGAUGGAGAGUGAUCAAUAAGGAUUUGAGAGAUCGAGGAAUAGUUGAAGAAGCCCCGAAGAUAAAAAAAAUGCUAUCAAGGGCGUAGUGGGCAUAGUGGGAUAGUGGCCUUUUCUGUAUCAAGCAUAACUUCUCGAAUCACCAACCACCUUCUUUGCACAAAUCCUUUCUCCAUCAUCCAUUAAUUCCAUCGAUUCAAAAAGAAGCCACCAUUAUAUCCGCACAUACAGCCGUCGUCACCACCUUUCUUCUUCGAGGAUCCUCAACCCCAUUAGAACGCUCACACACCGCCGACCAAACCCUAGCCGUCGGACUCUCCGAUCCAUCACCAUAGCCAGCUCAAACACUACCCAGACAGUCGCUAAACCACUGCUUGAUUUGUUGCCCUCCGCCAUAAUUCACCAGCCUUCGCCUCCACCAAAUUAUUACCCAUUUUCAACUCUCUCUUUCUAGUCCACAUAACUUCCAGCUGCUGCUUAGUUUACCGAAAACCGAAACCAAACCUCCAACUGCCACUUCACUUUAAUUUUCUGAUCAGACAGUCAUGAUUCAAGUCAAACCACCAGAACUGUCACGCUAAUCAACCUCAAGUCGUCUAGAUCCACCCAUCCUUGUCUAAUUUUCUGAUCACAGUCGCCGGCAACAAAUAUCAUCUUUUGCUUGUUUACAGUUUUACCCAAUAUUUUUUUUUAAUUACUUUAUUUCCCUUCAAUUUUUCUAUCCUUAAAAAAAACCCCAAAACCCUGAGAAAGAAAGAGGAAAUUAAGAAAAAGGAGAGAAAAAAAACAAAAAAAAGGUGGUACAAUGAGAUAUAGGAAGACAACGAUGAUCUUUUCUAUUAUGAUGGAUUUAUUAAUACUGAGGAUAUUUUUUAUUAGAUCUUCCAAAUUGAAGAUAUUGUUGAAAAUAUUCUAGAGGAUAAACAUAUGAAGUAUGUGUCCUCUGAAUUAAUGGAACAUGCAUCACAAUGGUGGAAAAACUUACAAGCAACACGAGUUUGACAUGGAAGAAAUAAGAUUCAAAUUUGGCAUACCAUAAAAAGAAGACAAAAGGUUAUUUUAAUUCCAUCAAUCAAGUAAAAUACAAAAUUUUAAAUUCUGAUGAUAAAUUUAUUAAGAAAUAAAUUUAAUAAGUAUUUUGAUAAAUUCAAAUAAUUUUAUUCAAAAAUUUGUUAAAUUUUGACUGGGUUAUAGCCCAUCUUUACUCAUGAAUAGCUUCAGCCUUGGUUGCGUCUUUCAAUUUCUUGGAACAGUUCACGACAUCAAGAAAAUAUCAGAUCUGUAUCCUUUUUUAUGUCAUGGAAAACACGUAUGAGCCGAGAAAAUAUCAUGAUUGUCUGUGUCUUGUUGUCCUCAAAAGCAGAAUUGCAGCGUGUUCCUAAAUUUGAAAGAAUUCCCGUUGAAUUUUAUUAGUAUUGCUGGUUUUUUUUCUCUUCCCUUUAUUCUAUUUGCAUGCUACCUUUAAAAAACUUGCUUCAUAAAUGGCCAUUUUUAAAGGAAUUCUGAAUGCACUGCAAAACUUUGUUAGUAGACUCGGUGGUGAACCUACAUUCAUUAGCAUUGGCCUUGUGGCCCUCCGGUGCUUUUCUAGUGCUCUUUGAUGAUCCCAAUUUGAGGUGUUGCUGACGAAUUUAAGAUUCUUUUGAUGAACAAUGGAAGCUUUAUCAUAGGCUUGAUAAGUAUUGCGUGGAUUGGUCGGCCAAAUUGUUGGAUUCAUUAAUACAAUUAUGCCUAUUUCGUUAUCUCCAGUGCUAUAUAUUAUCCAUGUUUCCCCAUUUGGGUGCCUUACAGAUUAAGAAGACUUUACCAUACAUUCAUGGACGGCAGUCAGUUUACAUUAACUCCCACUAUUGUAUCUUCACAAUUUGUCCAAAUUAUCUGAAGAUACAAAUUGUCUCCUGAAACAAACUGUCGUUCCCAAAUUAGCAAUAGUUUUAGUACUAUAUAUGGAUUCUCUUCCAUUAAUAAAUUUACUUACAUAUAUGGGGGCAUAAUGGAUUAAUGGUAGUCCCCAUUCAGCCAUUCUUUCCGCGACAAGGAAUGAGCGCAAAAUCAAUGUAAUGCUUCCCACAUUGAUUUAUCAGGAUCAUGUUAAUAUUCACAACUAAAACAUGUUAUAGACAAACAACCAUGCCAAAUGAAGAAGAAGAAAAAAUUGAACUUAUAACGACGCAAUUUUAAAGAAAUGGCAACAAUAACAUUAGACUAGUCUCAAUAAUAAACAAUUUGUGAGAAUUUGAUAUUUUGACUAGUUGGUGAACAUAUAUAUGAACAAAAAUUUAAAUAAACUGAUAGUUCAAUUACAACAAUCACCUCUUUUUUUUAGUUGGUUAGUAUAUCAUCUCCUUAUUGGGUGAAGUGAAAAAAGAAAGGAAAAAAAAAAAGAGCUUGGUGAGCUUUAGGCUCUAUAUUAGAAUACAAAUUUUAAUUGAAAAUGUGACUACUAAUAUAUCUCUAAAUCUCUUUGCUAAGACUCUACUUCAAAUUCAAUCUAUUAACUAGCAUGAAGUAAUGGUUUGUUUACUUUUUGGAUUAGGAAAUGAGAAUGAUUCUCAUUCCUCAUUAAUAUAAAGGAAUGGGAAUGCAUUUUUGGUGAAGCUCGUAAAUUUGAGAAUGAUAAAUAUAAAUCUCAUUCCCACAUAGAAGGUGGGAAUAAAAGUGGGGAAUGAAUUGAUAUUUUUACUCUUAAAUAAAAUAAAAUAAUUCUUUUUUUCACCACAUUUAAAUAUUAAAUAAUUAGUAUAAUUCUAAUUCUAAUUCUAAUAAUUAUAAUACUAGUAAUAAUAAAAAACUAUUAUUAUUAUUAUUAUUAUUAUUAUUAUUAGUAGUAGUAGUUAGUAGUAGUAAAUAAUAAUAAUAAUAAUAAUAAUAAUAAUAAUAAUAAUAAUAAUAAUAAUAAUAAUAAUAAUAAUAAUAAUAAUAAUAAUAAUUGUCAUAAUAAUAGUAAUGUUAAUAAUAUUUAUAGUAAAAAUAUUUACUCUUUAUUUUGCUAGUGAACAAAUAACUAAGGGCAUUUUAAUAGCUUUAACAAUUCAUUCUAAAUUAUAAGAUAAAGCAAACAUAUUAAUGAGAAUAUAUAUCAUUUCGAUUCUAAAUCCCUCAGUUCAAAUAAAUAAUUUAUUAUGAAUCUCACUCCUUAUUCUGUUUUCUGCCCAUUCUAAUUUCGAAAAAGUAAAUGCACCAUAAGUGCAUUGUUAGACUAUGCACUAACAACAUCACACAAAAUAUUACAUAAACUCGCAAUCAGUAGAAAGACGAAUAAUUAUUUGAUUUCAAAUCACCAUUUAUCUUUGAGAGGUUGGAAGAUUCAAGUGAAACUAAUACAUAUUUAAACAAAAUUUAUGUGUGAAGAAGAUGUACAAGUAGAGUAAAGAAAGCCUAGGCACGGGCCCGCCGGGGAAAUACUAAGCCCAUAUCGUUCAUCCACAGAGUAGGCUUUUUGACCCCCCCCCCCCCCCUCUCUUAUUUCCGUAUAAAAGUUUUUUUAAUUGAAAUUACUUAAAUAAUUAAUGAUAAGUUAAUUUCCUUUAUUUUGAAUGAGAAUUCAAUUAAACACUUAGAUAAAUUAUUUCUUAUUAAUUUCUUUCACACCUUUCUCAUUUCAUAAUUUAUAUUUAUAUUUUAAAAUUUAAUUGAAAAUAUUUUUUUUAGAAGCUUUUAAGAAUUUACAAUUAUAUAGAUAGAGAUUGCGUAAGAAGAAGAAAAUAAGUAAAGAUUUUAAUAUUUAUAAAUAUUUUAUAAAUAAAAACUUAAAAUAAACUUUUUUUUGGGUGAAAUUUAAUGACAAAAUGAUUAAUUUUAAUUUUUAGCUUAAUCUUCUGUAAAUCAAAUUGGGGUAUUUGAGGGAAUAACAUUUAAAAGGGGUUUCUAAGGAUUUUUUAGGGGUGUUAAAAGAUCCACUCGCAUUCGUAACAUUCACAUCAUACAGCUCGAAGCCCAUUAAGGCAGUAGGCUGGAACAACCCUAACCCUAAUGGCAAGUUCUUAGAAGCGACCGAGCGAUUAAGAACGUCGUCGUAAAACAAAACCCUACUAUAAAAGCCGUACAAGAACAAACCCUAAUUGCAUCUUCCCAAUCACACACAUAUAUAUAUAUAUUCAUCAGCCUGCCGCACAAGCUCAGUCUCUUUCGCCCUCUAAAGAAAUGGGUCGUGUGAUUCGCGCACAGCGUAAGGGUGCAGGUUCGGUCUUCAAGUCCCACACCCACCACCGUAAGGGUCCGGCCCAGUUCCGCAGCCUCGACUUCGGUGAGCGUAAUGGUUACCUCAAGGGUGUCGUCGCAGAGAUUAUUCACGAUCCGGGUCGUGGUGCCCCGCUGGCCCGAGUCACCUUUCGUCACCCUUUUCGCUACAUGAAACAAAAGGAGCUUUUCAUUGCCGCUGAGGGUAUGUACACGGGUCAGUUCGUGUACUGCGGCAAGAAAGCCACUCUGAUGGUUGGUAAUGUGUUGCCCGUUAGAUCUAUCCCUGAAGGAGCUG
RNAcentral lists this long non-coding RNA (50937 nucleotides) under Citrus maxima (pomelo). RNAcentral describes it as "long non-coding RNA (CMAX_LNC000018)". Lineage: Eukaryota; Viridiplantae; Streptophyta; Magnoliopsida; Sapindales; Rutaceae. The record is from RNAcentral.